Molecule: long non-coding RNA, 51774 nt
Filed under: Lactuca sativa (garden lettuce)
Lineage: Eukaryota; Viridiplantae; Streptophyta; Magnoliopsida; Asterales; Asteraceae
Description: long non-coding RNA (LSAT_LNC003303)
Source: RNAcentral
AACACUACUUUGCACCCAACAGUUAAGUUUAAAUCAAAGUAUGAACUCUCAUCAAAAUUCACAACUCAAAACUAGUUCAAAACUACAAAACAUCAAAUAAUGUAAUAUCAUCUAAGAACCACUCAUCCCAAAACUAAUUUAACACAACUCAAAACUGGUUUGAUAGUUUUUUAAACAAUCAUAUAAAUGCAAUGCCUAUUAUCCCAUAAUGUUGCUCCAAAAAUGUCUCUCAUGAUCAUAAACUUAAUUUCAUCAAAACAUACCUUUUAUAGAAUGGACUCCACUCCACUUCACUUAAGCUUUGUGUUUCCUUUUGUUACUGGAUUUAGCUCCUGUAAUCUUCUGAUAUGCUAAAAGUCUUGAAGGUGGCAGCUUGAACUCAUUCAGCUUCUUCUUUCUUCUCUGUUUCCUAGAAAGUACUUUUUCACCUUCAGUUUGUGCAUCAUCAACCACUUGUUCAUUAGAUUUCUCAACAUCAUGUUUGAUCCUCUUUCCACCAUUCUCAGAAGUCUCUCCCUUAAGAAGAGAUUUAAUCUUCUGUUUAUGUUCCUUUAUCUUAUGGCGAGGAACAAUGAACUCAUCCUCUCUAUAAGUAGCCAACUUCUUCAAAGGAACUAACUGAUUCAACUCCUUGUCAUCAACAACCAAAAUCUCUUUUGCUUUCAAUCCAUAAGUGUUCUUGUUAACAGGUCUGUAUUUAAACCUUGUCUUCAAAUCCCCAAUUGUAUCCUCAUAGUCCAACUUAUAGUACUCUUCUAACUCUUUCUUAAUCGCCUCCUCCUCUACUUCAGACCUUUUCCUUUUCUUCUUCUUAUCUUCUUCAUCAUGUGAAUUAUCAAUCUUGCACUUUAAGGUUUUUUCUCUAGUAGCCAAGAACCCAUCACCAGAUCCAUAUUCAUUUUCCCACCCUUUUGGAAGCCCAAGAAACUCGUCUUCUUCAUCAAAGUUUGGUUUUUCCAAUUCACCAUCUUCUUCUUCUUCUUCACUACCAAAUUGUGGGUCCACAUCUUCAGCUUCAUAGAAGUUUUCAUCAAAAGCUUUCUUCAUUGUUCUAUCAUGCUCAUCAGGAUCGAAUUCCUCCUCAAGAUCAUGUUCAUCUAAUAAACAAACUUCAUUUUCACCAAUUCCUGCUGUUUCUCUAAUCUUUCUAAUCUUCUCAUUCAUCUCCUUCUUCUUCAAGUUCUUCAUAUGUUUCAGUUCUUCCUUUCUUUCAAGCUCUGCUAGUGCUAUCCUUUCCUCUUUGUUUUUCCUUUGUAACUUUCUUGCAUUGUCUUUCUUCCUCACUGAACCAUCAACCUUUCUUGAAAACCCCAUAACUCUAUCACCUGCAUUUUCUUCAAACCUAAAAUUGAACUCUCUUUCGAAAUUUUCUUGUCUUUCUAACUCCUCUUCAUCCUCUGAAACAUCUAAUUCCACAUCAUUUAAGUGGUUACUACUACCGGCCUCUUUAUCUAACCACAUCUUUUUCCUGAAAUAAUCCUUCAAAAACUUCUCAUUUUCAUCUAACUUUUCAUCCUCUUCAAAAUACUCAUCUAGCUUCUUUUCAUACUCAACUUCAUCUUCAUCUUCAUCUUCAAUUCCCCUUUUAUCAUUCUUUACCUUCAAUAAAUCAUCUUCAUCGUCUUCAUCACCUACAGCAUCCAAAAACUCCUUUCUUAAUACCUCCUGUUCUUCAGAAUAACUCUUUUUCUUACCCUUGUUUUCCUCUUCGUCAUCUUCAUCAUCAAACUCAGGCCCUUUCUCAAUUAAAUGCUUUGCAGUCACAUCUUUCAGAUACAUCGGUUUCCUUUUCUUUUCCUUAUUAUUAUCCUCAGUUUCAUCCUCAUUUUCCAAAUCAAAUAGCUUAGCAUCUUUAUUUUUAAGUGAAGGAUCUUGCUUUUUGACCUUUAUUAACGCAUCAAAGAACUGCAAAUCCUGCUUUCUCGAAUAAUUGACAAUAUUCUCCUCGUCUUCAGAUGACUCAUCUUCUUCCUCGCUAUCUAUGUCCGAAUCAAUUACACCUUUCUUCUUCAUCUCUUCAUACCGCUGUAUAUCUUCACGUUUCUUGUUAUGCUCGUAUCUGCGUGCGAACUCUUUGUUGAUUUCUAUUUUGGAUAAGUCAUCAGAAUCGGAGCCACCAUUGUCAAAUAGCUUCAUCCCCAUUCUUUCUAUGCUAUGAACUCCGAUAACUGAUCUAGCAAACAAAAAGUAUCAUUAAUAAUUAUCCAAAAUUCCAGUAACACACAACAGCUAUACAUAAAUUAGAAAUUAGAGCUCAAAACUAUACAAACUUCCAGUGGCAUACAAACAUCAUAUGUGAAAUCAGUACUCUGAAUAAGUUAUGCAAACUUCCAGUAACAUAAAAAAAAUCAUAUUUUAAAACCUAAAAUUACACAUUAAUCUGAAAUUCUGACAUUAUGCAUUAAUCUAAAACUAAAACUUAAAUCAAAAUCGUACAUUAAAAUUUACCUCUAUGGGUUUGCGUUUGCGGUGGGCAGAGAGACCAAAAGAGCGGACAGAAAUACCACCGGAGGUGGGUGGGCGGCUCGGCGGCUACCUGACUUCGUACGCCGGACUGAGCAGAGCGAUGGAAAGACCGGACAGAGAAACUCCGGCUUCGAGAAUCGCGUUUGAUCGAGAGAGAGAGAGAGAGAGAUGAUAUAUAGAGCGGACAGAGAGACCGCCGGAGGUAGUAUCGGCGGCUUCGUGUUCUGAGGGAGAGUGAGACGAUCGUGCGUGUGUUUAUCUCGGACUCGAUUGAAAUGUUGAAUGAGAAUCGGUUUCACCAAACCCUAGUUUUAAAUUUACAAUUAACUAUAUUAAAUUACAAGAAUGGCCCUUUGGUUUGGGGUUGAUCCAUAUGCUGUAUCGAUGUAUCCCUAUUCCCUAACUUUUUUUUAGAGGGUGUUGGAUUGCUUUAAAAACAAUUUUUUUUUUUGGAGAAAAUACUGUAAAUAGUAAAAAAAAAAAAUAGGGGAUGUUUUUAAAAAAUAGACAUAAAAAUGGAUUUUUCUAGCUAUAGACAUACAUUCCGCGGAGGACCCUCCGCAGACCUCCGCGGAAUGAUGUCAUCUCCGCGGAAUGGAUCUUGAGGGUUUUUUUUUUCACAUCGAUUCUUCGGGGUUUCUUAAAAAUAAUUAGUUUUUUUAUAUAUUGAUUUAUUUACGAUUUUGCCAUUCCGCGGAGCUACAGUAGAUUCCGCGGAGUUACCUCCGCGGAAUGCAUGUCUAUAUCCGGAAAAGUCCAUUUUUAUGUUUGUUUUUUGAAAACAACCCCCAUUUUUUGACUAUUUACGGUAUUUUCUCAUUUUUUUGACAUUUCAUUUUUAAGAAAAGUAAAAAAAAGUGCAAAAAAAUGUUUGUCUAAGUUAAAAAGUAUUUUUUAAACAACUUAUGAGCAAAAGGAAAAAAAAGUUGAUUUCAAAAGGGGUGUUGCUAAUAAGAUAUCAUUUAGACACCCUAUUAUCACUUUUAUAAAAAGUCAACCUAUAAUCAACUACUUAUAAUCAUUUUUUUCGGAAAACAAUGCAAUUUCAACCAAUAAAAAUAUUUUAAAAAUUCAUUAAGGUGUCUAUAUGGUAAAAUGAGAUGUCUUUUUAGCCAACCCCUUUCAAAAGUCACAAAAACGUGACUUUUGGAACUUUUGUACUUCUUAAAAGCAACUUUUGUUUUUUUACCAUCCAAACACAUUUUAAACCAUAACUUUUGGAAAAAGAACUUUUACAAAAAGUCAUUUUAUAAAAAAAAAAAAAAAAACUUUUGAGCUGAAAAAGUUAUCCCAAACACCCACUUAAUUUAAACCAUCAUUAUACUUAUCAAAAAAAAGUAAUUAAGAAAUAGAUAUGGGUUCAAUCCUAGAUAGGAGAUAUUUAAAUUAUUUAUUGUUAAAAUAAAUUAAGAAAUAGAUGUGGAAAAAGUUGGAAGUGUAUGUGUUUAUCUUUGGACUCGAUUGAAAUAUUGAAUGAGAAUUAGAAAGGAUUCAUCAGCGUUGUCGGGGUUGGAAGGUAUUGCUUUGUAAAGUAAAGUAGCAUGUUGAAUUGCAUUGAAAUAAUCUAGUAAAGGAAGAUAAACAAUGUCAUCUAAUUACAUAAGUACCAAAGGGCUUCUAGCCCAGCGGUAUCAGGUGGUGCCCUCCCACUUUUAGGUCGAGGGUUCAAGUCCCGUUGUGGACAUAGGUGAAAUUAGGUGUUAGUUUAGAAGUAGAUUAUAAUAUUUGUAUUUGCCGGUUCAAAAAAAAUUACAUAAGUAAAGAAAUUUAAAUCAUUAUUUCUUGCAAUAAAUGAGGAAAAUAAAGAAAUUGUCUCAUAAAUUGAACUUUAUUGUCAUGUAUGGCAGCGGCCGGAAAACCAAUCCGGAAAAUAUAAACUGUUGUUUUUUGUCCGUUAAUGUGAGGGUAAUUUGGUCUUUUAAGGUAGUAGGGACUGAAUUUGUGACGAUGGGUAAACCAUAUGGUCCAUUUAUGUAAUUUUGGCGGCAGUGGUGGUGGUGGUGAUGGCAGCUGGUGGGUGGCUUUAUGGUAUUGAAUGAGUAUUUUCUAAUAAAUAAAACAUUAAUUUAAAACCAAAAAGAGAAAUAUAAAUUAAUAAAAAAAAAUAGGAUUAGGAAUAAAAGAGUGAUUUCGGUUUCCAUCAUUGUCCUCAAUGUGUUAAAUUUGGUAAACCAUAGGGACCAAUCGUGUAAUUUUGUCUAAUAAUAAUAAUAAUAAUAAUGAGGGACCAUUUCUACCAAAAGACUAAAUACUAAUAAUAUGUAACAAAAGGCGAGGGUUAUGAAAAAUUCAAACGAAAGUGAAAAGGUUGUUUGUGAAAAAAGCAUAAAGGUGAANNNNNNNNNNNNNNNNNNNNNNNNNNNNNNNNNNNNNNNNNNNNNNNNNNNNNNNNNNNNNNNNNNNNNNNNNNNNNNNNNNNNNNNNNNNNNNNNNNNNNNNNNNNNNNNNNNNNNNNNNNNNNNNNNNNNNNNNNNNNNNNNNNNNNNNNNNNNNNNNNNAUAUAUAUAUAUAUAUUGGGACCCUUACCACUUUCACCAAACCCUACUUUUAGAUUUAUAAUUAACUAUAGUAAAUUACAUGAAUGGUACCUUGGUUUGGUUUGGAGUUAGUUUGCCUUUUUUUUUGUUUCUGGAUCUUUUUCGAUUUAGACAAUCUUUGGUUUGGUUUCAGAUUUAGUAUUUACAAGAUUGAAAUGACAUUUAUAUCAUUUAUUAUCUUUUUUUAUUAAUAUCAUGUUAUCGAAGAAAAAAAUGACACAGAAAUAUAUGUGGGUCCCACCCCCUAACCCCACUACUCGUGUUCCUCUCUUUUUCUUGUUAUAAUCUCUCAAUCGUUUAAUUCCAUGACAUCAACUGCAUCUUCUCCCUCAUCCCUUUUCCAUUUUCACCGUCGAUCUGAAUCUCUUCCUUCUUCCGUCUUCAUCGUCGACUACAUCUAUAGGUGGUUUACAGAGGGCCCACGGUCCGUAGAUUUUCCAAGAGGAAAAAAAAUAUGGGCAUGUGUUUCCCUAGAUGUCCAUAGUGAAAUCCAUUUUUUCCCAGUUUUCAUAGAUUCCAACCUUCGAUUGCCUCGAAACUUCCAUAAAGACUUAUAAAAAGGGUUAAAACUUGAAAAUAAGAUCAAGAAGUUAGGAACCCUUGUAGGGGUACUUUGGUCAUUUGUAACUAUUUGAUUUUAAUAAAAUAGAUGGUGAUUAAGAGGUGUAAUAAGAUUUAAAGGAGUGUGAUAUCAAACUAUCAACAUGAGUAACUACUGAAUGCAUAACCCACAUAUGACUAGAAAUGAUUUUUAUGAUUUAAACUUUAUGUAUUAUGUUUAUAUGCCCUUAUGUGUUAUGAUAAUUGUUGUUCGUAAAUCUAUGCACAUUCACGAAAAAUGAUAUUUUGAAAAGUAUUUUGACUAUGACUAAAUGAUUAUAAUAUUUUGGAAACAAUUCUCCUCUUGAAGUUGUACAUCUACUCACUAUGGGUACAUACUUGAGUCUCCAAUAAAGUCCUAGGAAAAAUAAUUAUGUUGAUGACCAUAGACCACUGUCUUAGUGAUAAUAUUCUAGAUAUGUAUCACUUGUACAUAUAUCUUAGCUAACUCGUGUACGGUAUAUUUGAUGAUAACAAAGUGAUAGGUUUUAUGGGUUUGGUCAGUUUUGUUCGUGUCGGGAUUGUCAGCUACAUGUUCUUCCUCUAAUGGAAGAACAGUAGUGUAACACCCUGUUUCACCCUUCAGUACGAUUUAAUAUAAACAUUUGUUUAUAAAACUCGAAGUAGAAAUAUAUUACUUUUUAUCCAAAGUAAUCAUCAUAAACAUGUAGGAAACGCCAAUACGAUUUCCGUAAAUAUAUAGAACACUCAAAUCUGACUUCGUAUAGAAAAGUUAUGAUUAUUCGAAGAUUUGUGUUCGGCCCUAUACGACAAGGCAUGUUAUAAAAUGUGAAUCGGAGAUAGGUUGCUUAUUAGCCUUAGUGAUCUAAACAAAAGUCGUAGUAGUCAUAAAAUCGAGAGCGUGCCUAUAAAGAACGUCCAAAUCUGACUUCGUAUGAGGAAGUUAUGAUUUUUCGAAAUUUUGGUACUGCAAUGUUGUAACAUCCCAAAAUUCAUGACCGAAAAUUUCAUUUUUAAUAUAGAUAAAACACAUUUGUAACUUGGUUCACACACUUAAUGUAACACCCCGUUUAUUAAGUAAAUAAAUAAAUUAAUUAAUGAAUGUAUAUGUGAUAACCCGUUAAUUUCAAUAUUGUAAAAGUCAAACUUGGGUCAACUAAAGUCAAACUUAUUGUAUUGAUCUAUCUUAUUAAGUAGAUUUAUCUUAUUAAGUUAGAUUUAAAAUAUAUAUGUGUUUAAACCCUUUUAUUAGAAGUGUUACAAAAAUUGGAAGUGAAAUGCUUAAAUCCGAGAACCCUCGCAUGGCUUAAAGACUUCGGACCGCAAACUCUCUUUGGACCGUAAACGCCUCGCAGUCGGAAACCAUGUUUGGCCAUAAACCCUUCUGACCGCAAACCCUCGGUUCACAGUCGUAAACCCUCGGUCUUAUCCUCUCGGUACGCAAACCAACAAACAUGUCCCAUCACGUACGAUUUCGACCCUAUACAUAUGGAGGGACCGAAAUCACUUCCUCACUUCUACACUUCUAACUGAAAACCCUUUAUUCUCUCCCAACUAUCAUCCGAAAAAUCCUUUAAUCUUCUUCGGAUCUUGUUAAGAACACCAAGUGUUCUUCAUUUCAUCAAGAUAUCACCUUCCAUUUUGGUGAUCAUCAACCGAAAACCCUUGAAUCUCCUUGGUUUCACCAAGAACACCAAGAUCUUCAUGUGGCCGAAAACCCAAGGGCUGGCCGAAAAUGCAUAGCAACCUUCCAAAAUAGAUUCUAACACCUCUAUUUGUAAGUAAACCUUACAAAGUUGUUUAUUUCCUUAACAUACUUGCGAUUAUAUUCACUAAUAGUAUAGAGUAAAUUACUGAAAUCAUCCCUGUGGUUUGGUCAAAAUUGCACGUUUGGUCCUUAACUUUUUUUUGCACUCGGAUCGUCCAUGUGGUUUGAUUUUGUUGCGUUUUCCGUCCCUGUGGUUUGAUUUUGUUGCAUUUUUCGUCCCUUACAUACAUAAAGUUAGGGACCAAACAUGCAAUUUUUACCAAACCAUAGGGACGAAAAACGCAACAAAAUCAAACCACAGGGACGAUCUGAGUGCAAAAAAAAGUUAGGGACCAAAUGUGCAAUUUUGACCAAGCCACAUGGACAAUUUCAGUAAUUUAUUCAAUAGUAUACAUAUAUAUUACAUGAAAUGCUUUUAGGACUCGUUUUUCUCCCAGGAUCUAACUUAUGGAAAAACAUCCUAUAUCAAACCUUCAAGCGAAUCACUUACUUAAGGUGAGUUCAUACCCCUACAAUUUACCUUUUUCAAUGUUUUUAAGGGGGGUGAUACAAGCAAAACACAAUAGAAUUGUGUUAACACUUACAUGUGAAAACAAACAAAUAAAGGAAUUCUUAUGCUUAUAAAUAUUGUUAAAAUCAUUUCAAAACUCUUUUAAACUAUUUUAGAUUUCUAUUUAUAUCAAAAUCAUAUUCAUUUGUAUAUUUAUGUAUAAUCAUGUUUUAACAGACUUAGGACUAUUGCUAAUAACGUAACUCUUGUUCCUUGUUUGGUUGAGGGCUUAAGGUAUGAUCACUAGUCUAACUGUCGGCUAAAUCAUAGUUAUACAUGCUAAAUAUAUACAUGAAUAUUAAAUCUCAUUUUCAAGAACAUACUUAACUCAAUUGCAUAUGUUGGGCAAAUGAGUCUUUUCUCCAAAUCAUUUACAACUCAAACAAACAUACUAGUAAACUAUAAUAGGUAUAGUUUAGAGAAUCAAUUCAUACUAUUUUCUAGAUCAGAGAAACAAUACAUGAAUCAAUACAUACGCACUAUUACUUCUCAUUACAAAGUACACCAUUCAUUUACAAGAACAAGAAACAUAUACAUACUAUAUGAAAACAAGUUAACUAGAAUGUGAUAUACUUCUUCAUGAUACUUAGCAACAUUCUUGCUAAGUCAUGUUUUAUAACCAGAGUCUCCUGGAGGGAGAGCAUGAGUUUGUGUAUAGAUCUAUACGGUACUGACAAUCCCACACCUUGAUGUUAGCUACAGUUGGGACCGGCAGGUCUACGGGUGACAAAUGUCAUUUCUUUUUCGACACCUGAAGAACAUCGUGUUUUAUACUAGUCAAUUAAGUAUGGUUAUAACCUCAUUCACAUUAAACAUUAACUAAACAAUUUGGUUUACAAGACAAAUAUUUCUUCAGUGGUUUUAUUUUAAAUAAAACUACUAAAAGAUAUUAUCUUCCAUUCCAUACAUACAGUGAUGUUCACACAUGAACAAGGAAUACUAUUUUUCUAGUAAAGAUAGUUUACAUAUAUGGAAAACAUACAUUUAAACUAUUUCAAGUACAAACAUACAUUCAUACUAUUUCAAGUACAAACAUACAUUUAUACUAUUUCAAGAGAACAAAUCAUAAAAAUAGUUGGGUCUUGGGUAAAAGACUACUUUUCAUUUAAGUAGAAAAUAUAGGAUUUUCUGGGAAGUAUACUAACAUUUUCAUGAAACAAAUACAAACAUUAGACACUAAAUACUUAUGAACUCACCAACUUAAAUGUUAAUACUCUCUUUCAAAAUAACUUGUAUUCUCAGGGAACCAGUAGACAGGUACACUGGCACAGGUUUUGAGAAGACAGAGCAUGUUCAAGACUCGUCUUUUAUUUUUGCUAUAAAUUUUUGUGUCAUACAACUAUACAAAGAACACACAUGUAUUAACUAUUUUAUUAAUGCAAUGGAUGUUGUUGUUUGUUUUACUAUUGCACAUUGUUAUGAUACUGUACAUGACGUCCUUCGCCCCCAAAUCUUUCCUCCAUCUCGGUGUGGGGGUAUGACAAUAUAGUAGCCCUAAAAUAAAUAAUUAUAUAGCAAGGUAUUGGUCUUAAGGAUCUAAUUGUCAUAAUUUUAGAGAUUGGGGGUUAAAAGUGUAAAAUUCGGACUUAAUUUGUAUGUAUUAUUGAAGGUAGGGACUAGGUAACUUCUGGGACAUCAUUUGAAGAGAUUUUGGAGGCUAAGGGGUUGUUUGGUAAAUUACGGAUCGAAUUUGAGAGGAAUUAUGGAAGCAAGGGUGUAAAUGGUAAAUAUUGUACCUAAAUUGUAAUGGGUUUUAAUGCUGAGGGCCGAAAGGGUAAAUUAUGGGUUAGUUUUGAUAAUAUUUCUAAAGGGAAGGACUAUUUAUGUCAUUAUGGUAUGAAAUUUCGUAUACCGGUUAUAUAACCCCAGCAUCACCGGGCAUCAAACCCUAACCCUAAUGUGGAGCUGCAGCCGUCGGUUAAACCCUCCACCCUUCAUACUGCCACCUCCUAGCCUCGCCGGAACCGAUGAUCACCGUCACUCCCAUGGAUCGGACGAGUUGCAACACCCAUCUCUGUCAACGAUGCAAUCCCCGCUCCACCUUCUUUCCUUCUCACGACUCUCCAAAGCCGAUGUCGCAUCCUCUGCCGGCGAAGAUGAGGACCAACGAAAAGGACCGAUGUGGUCGUUGGGAGAAGCCGGAAGGACUGGAAAUUAGGUUGUCAUCACAACCGCCGCUAUUAUCAUUCGCUUCAUCCGUUCUUAUGUUGUUAUUUUGUCACCAUACCACCGUCAUCGUUGUGUCGCUUGUGUUGUCGUUGCCACCAUGUUACCUUAACAUGCCGCCACUAGCCACCAUGAAAGGUGGCUAUGAGUGUGCUUUGGUGCGUUUGCGUUUAUUUAUGUAGAGAGAGGGUGUUAUGUGUGGGUGUUUAUUUAGCCGGAAAAGUCACCACCACCACCGUGAGGUGGUGGCUGCCACCAUCUACCACCACUGACCACCACAAGGAUGAUUGUGUGUGUGUUUAGCUUAGUGUGUGUGUUUGUGUGUGUGUGUUAUUUGAUAUGUUGCAUUGUAUGAUGUAAUCGGUAAAGGAAUAAUGGAAAGAAACUCAUAACCACCACCGUGAGGUGGUGCCUGCCGCCACCAGUUGCCGUGUUGGGUGACAGUGUGCAUAGCUUGUGAUUGGAUUGCUUUUGGAGUGCUUGGACUCGAUUGGACUAGAACCCUAACCAACGCCGCGAGGUGGUGGCCGCCGCCAUGAGCCGUCGUUGACCACCACUACCCGAGGUGGUAGUGGGUGGUGCCCAACUAAUGAAACCCUAGUGGGCCUUAUGAGACCCUAGUGGGCCUAAUGAAUCCCUAAUUGAUCUAAGGACUUAGUUUUUGGGCCUAUUGGGCUAUGAUUGGGUUGAAAACCCUAAUUAGGGUUUAGAAAACCCUAAUUAGGGUUUAGAAAACCCUAAUUUUAGAAUUAUUGGUUUGGACUUAUCGGGACCGACAUAUUGGGUCAUUGGAAUGGAAUUGUGAAUUGCACCCGAUCAAACCAUAUGAUUUAUUUAGAAGAGUGAUGGACUUAAUGGAUUAAGUCCUUAAUGGGUUAAACGAGAAACACUUAGCCCUAAUUGUCAUUUUAUGUGAAAACCCUAAUUUCACUUGGGCUUUGAGUUGGGAGUUUCUAUUGGGGUUUAGUGAUUGGGCUAUUGAUGGGCCAUCCAAGAGCAAUCAAAUGGACUAAGAAUUUAUGGAUGGGCUUUAUGGUAAGGCCUAUGUGAUGGUUUGGGCCUAAUUUGGAAAAUUGGACCAUAGAUGGGCCAUAAUUGGGCCUUUAUGAUUAUAAGAUAUUGGGCCAUUAGAAAUGCCAAAUGUUUGGACUGGACUAAAUGGUUGGGCCUUAGAAUAAGACAAUGUUAAGGUUUGGGCCCAAUUUGGAAAAUUGAGCCAUAUAUUGGGCUUUGACUCGUAGUUGACUUUUGGGCCUUUGGAUUGGGCCUUGGGCUUGAAUCAAGCUAAGACAUGGGUAAAGCAGUCUUUUACCCCAAGCAUGGACUUAUGGGUAUAUGUUGGGACCCAAUUACUGAUUGGGUGUUAUUUUGAUGAUUGACAGUUCGAGAACCUGUUAUCCAACAACUAGAGUUUGUCUACGAGACUUCAGUAGUGUGACAUGAGUUACCUUCCAGCAGAAGUGGGUUGAAGGCACCAAUGUCGACCCACUAGUAGUUGAUUAUAGUUGAGAUGAUUGUCUUUGUGAUAAUUGUCUAGUAUGUCACUAUCUGUUAUGUGUUAUGUGCUAGUAUGCUAUGUUUUAUGUGAUAGUGGUAGUAGGAGGGGAAUAGUCCCCGUGUUACGGUCAUAAGGACCGAAGGGUAGGUCAGGCACCCCAUAUAUGUUUGACAGUAUGUUUAUGAUAUGUUAUUAUGUGAUAGUGAUAGUAAGAGGGGAAUAGUCCUCGUGUUACGGUUGUAAGGAUCAAAGGGUAGUUCAUGCACCCCAUAUAUGUUUGACAGUAAGUUUAUGCUAUGUUAUUAUGUGGUAGUAGUAGGGGUGAAAUAGUCCUCGUAGCCGGUUGAGAUAAACCGGAGGGUAGGUCGGUGCCCCAGAAUUGCCAGACAGGGUAAGUCGGGCACCCCAGAAUGGCCUAACAGGGUAGGUCGAGCACCCCAGAAUUGCCUGACAGGGUAGGUCGAGCACCCCAUAAUUAUCUGGCAGUAUGUGUUCGGUAUGGGAUGUGGUAUGAUGGGGGAACUCACUAAACUUUGUGCUUACGAUUUUCAGUUUUGGUUUCAGGUAUCUCGUUUUCAAAGGAAAGGAGCUAGCUCGAUCGCAACGCAUUACACUAUGUUUUCUGCACAUGAGAUCUUUGGGAUUGCACUCUGAUAUUGUCUUAUGAUAACAUGUUUUGAUUAUUGACACUUUGGUUUUGAAUUGGGAUGUUUUAUUACUGUUGGUGUAACACCUAUUUCGAGUAUCGGUUAGAAAGUACCAUUUGGGGGAAAUGUUAUGCAUGGACUCGGCAAGUUGGGAGUCUAACUCGUCGAGUAGGUUCGGAACUGACUCGGCGAGUAGGAAGGCCCGACUCGGCGAGUCGGAGCUGUUUAGGUAAAAACCCUAAUUUUGGGGUUUUUCCCCCUAUAUAAACAUCAUUAUCUGCCCCAGUGGCCUCCCUUAUCACAAUAGGAGAACGUUUACAACCGCAAACCCACUAGUGUGUGAAGUAAGAACGUUUGGGAGCUUAUCUUUGGGGUUUUAGGGAGGAUUCCAAGCUUGAAGAGGAAGUAUCAAGGGGGAAGUUCUAGAUCAAUCAUCUAUUUCGUGUUGGACUCCUGAAUGAGGUAUUAAUCUGCUAUCUUAAGCUUUGAUUUCUUUGGAAGAUUGUGGCCAUCCUUGAGAACAUAGAACCAAGUUUGGAUCUGGACCUAUCACAAGGAUAUGGUUCUAGAUCUAGACCUUCUUAGGUCCCAAUUUUCAUAAAGUUGUCUCCUUGGUGCACCCUAAUUCUUAUUCAUGCAUUAGAGACUUGUAAGAAGCUUGUUGAUGUAGUUUUGGCAUUAUGAGACUUUAUACGAACGUAAAGUUGGCAACUUUACAUGGUAUUAUCACUAGUAGAGUAUAGAUCUGAAGUUUGGGACCUUGAGUCCCACUGGAUAGGGCCGUAAACAUAAGGUACUAAGGGGACUCGACGAGCCAUGCAAGUGACUCGGUGAGUCGAGUGGGUUUUCUCGUUCAUGGCCAAGGGUUUAAGGUCAAGGGUGUUCGGUUGGAAGUUUACGACCGUAAACACCAAGGAACUCGACGAGUCACGGGUAUGACUCGGCGAGUUGGUGAGUCAAAUAGGAACUCGACGGGUGUCAGGUCACACUUGACGAGUCAGGGUCGACAUAGAUUAUCGACCUUGACCUUGAUCAGGGUAGACCCUGGGGGUAUUUAUGGAAUUAUGUUGAGUUAUUUAUUCAUUGAUUAUGGGCGGUUGAGAAGGAGCAGCGUGUGGGAUAUAUCUGACUUCGGCUAAUCAGUUCAGAAUUCGAGAGGGGAGUCUUCUCACCAUACUAAUGGGUCUAAGGCACCAAGGCCGACCCAUUUAUCUAGUUGUGAUGAUUGUUGCAAAUGUUCUAUUGAUACAUUAUGUAUUAUGUGAAGACCAUGCGGGGGUUCCCAUGGCAUAUAGUUAUAUAUGUAGUAUACUAGUUAAUUGUGUGGUAUUUGGUAUGCUGGUUAUCUUUGUGAUACUUGCAUGGAAGACCCCGGGGGGGCUCCCGAGGUAAUUGGACAUAAUACCAUGUGGGGGUUCCCAUGGCUUUCCAGGCUAAGACCAUGUGGGUUCCCGAUGAAAUUUUUACCCUUGAUUGUUGGGUCGUUACAUGUUGGUAUCAGAGCCUUUGUUUGAUGGAUUAAGGGAUACCUUCGGGUGUGUCUGAACUCAAACUGAGGAUCUGUAAAGUUUCCAAAAGCUUUCAAAAGAAAAUGUUUUAAGUAAAGAAUGUCUAAUACAAGAAAGGGUGUGGUGCAUUCAAUCAGCCGAGCUUAAGUAAGUUUCCCCAUAAUACCCACAUUUGUUAUCUGUUAUGAUUUGAUUAUGAAUCUAUGAAUUGCAUGCUAGUUAGGGCUAGGGGAGAUGCAUGUAUAUGUUGUAUGAGAUGGUAGACUUGCAUGCUAGUGCUGAACAGUCAGCAACAAGUUGGCCUGAUAUGUGAUACUUGUAGCCAUGAGGAUAUUGGAUGUCAUGCUGGAAUGAGAAUGAUAAUUAGUAAUUGUAACUGCAAUGUGUAUGUUUUGAAAAUUGUAUAUGGUUAGGAUCUUAUAGCCUUAGAAUACUUGGUUUGACCUUAUUUCCUAUGGUCUUAGGGUAGAGUCUAUUAUUCGACAGUCUAUUAGAUCCUGUUAUGUGUACAAUUUGCAUGCAUAAGGCAACCGACAGCGAGGAUGAAUGGAUGUGGACAACAUAGGUUGUGGUACAUGGACGGGAUGUACAAUGAUAACUUCGCAUGUUGGAGAGUGCCCUAGGGAGAGCCUAGGAUGAGAUUAGUGUCAAGUGUUACCUACUUGCGGAUUGGAUGUGAGGAUAAACUGACUUGUCUAGGGUAUGCUGGUUAGAUUUACCAAUUACCUGAAUGUUGCUUGCUUUGUGCUUUGUAGGACUCUUAUUAAUGUGAGUUAGAUACUAAGUGAAUAUGCUAGGUCACAUGUGGCACAAGCCGGAUAAUUUCAGAGUGAUGGAUUUGGCCCUAUUGUGCAACUCUCGUCUGAGUCCAACCGUUCUAGGGAUGGAUCUUUUACUUGAAGGAUUAUUUGAUCUCUGUUGUAUGUGGCUAUAUAAUGAGGUAGCUAGAUGACCUUUAAUGAGAAUCUUUCAGCAGCUGAGGGCAGGGAGAGGUUGGGAACCUAAGACAACCUAGGAUAUGCUCCAGUGAGCUUAGUGGGGCAGUUCGGUGAAGUUGGGAACCUAGGGGGAGCCUAGGAGGUACUACAGUAGAGAUCGUUUUGCUGUUUAGCAAAUGUUUAGUAUAUCGGUGGAGUAAGUGACUCAGAGGAUUCAGGAGGAUUGCCAAGGAAAGUCUGGAUAGGUGUGGAAGGUAGUAUUGGGCCCGUACUACUAAAAGCACAGGAUCCAUACUCGAAUCAGUGAGAGUCUUGGAGAAUCUGAGAAGCUUAUGGGAAGGAGGACUCUUGGUUAUGCCUUGAUCGUGGGAAUAGUUGCUUCACAGAAUGAGGAUGAGCGCGCAUGAGUAGGACCAGGGUUUGGUCCCAGCUCCGGUGGUGAGCCAGUUAGUGGAAGGACCGCUAGGAUUUUGAGUUCACCUUGGAUCAGGCGGCAAGGAUUAUGUGUCACAACUGUAAAUUUUGAGCCAUGUAAUCUAUACAUUCAAGUUAAUGUGAAUCAAAAACUUCAAGUAAAUACAACAUGCUAGAACUACAAAUAGUCAUCAAACAAUUGGAGACCCUAGAAGUUCUUGUUAAGUCUAAUUUAGGCUAGAACUUCCUUAUUGGAUCCAAAUGGGCCAAUAAGCUUCCAAUUAGACUAUCAUGGGCUUAGAACCCUAAUUGGGCUCUAAUUGGACCCACUCUUAUUUAUUUUAACAUUUUAGGUCAUGUUGGGCCUAUAAUGAAAUGAAUUGGAAGCUUUGGGCCAAGGAUAACCUAAACUAGCCCAACAAAAUGUAAAAAUCAUAUUAUAUUUUUUGGGCCAAAAAAAAUCAUUCAACUUAACUCCUAUGUGGGCUUAGGGGCAAUNNNNNNNNNNNNNNNNNNNNNNNNNNNNNNNNNNNNNNNNNNNNNNNNNNNNNNNNNNNNNNNNNNNNNNNNNNNNNNNNNNNNNNNNNNNNNNNNNNNNCCCCCGGACGUUUCCGCCGUCUGGUUCGGGGGUGUGACAUUAUGCGACCAAUUGCACAUUUGGGAUUGGAGACCAAGUCUCAGGGAUAGUUUGUAGUCAGGUUUAGAGUAGAGACUUCUCCAGCUGUUGCAGUGUGGCCGCGGAGAUUGAGCUAGUAAGUGGAUCAGGGUGCGAGACCCUGAAUGACAUGGAUCAUAGAGCCGAGGACAAAAGAUUGAUUAGGAAUACCUCAAUGCGAGAGGUUCAGGUUAGGUGAAUUUUUUGGAGGGUCUCGGGCGGAGAUCCAAGAGUUUGGAUCAGCUUUUGAGAGGCCAGCAAGGUCGGAUCCAAUGCACCGUUUGUAGAAACUACGCGAAGAAGUUUCGUUCCAAGGGUUUGGAUCGUCAUUGGGAUCGGAAUGAGGUGUUACAUUAUGUUCUUAGGGUGGUCAAGGUACCAUAGGAGGAGGGGGUCAAGAUUCCUUCAGAUGUUCGCGGAUAUGCUAUCUUCGGCCAUUUACGGUGGAUACCAGGUAUUUGUAUCGUUUGAGUAUUGUGAUGAGUUGGAUCUCGGGUUGGUUUUCUGCUAUUGUCUGGGUUAGCAAGGAUUGUCAGAUGUCAUUCAGUAUGUCGAGGAAUCUUUAAGAGAUCUUCAGACGGAUGUAUCUUGCGGAGCGGAUUCCGCGCGUACCGUGAUUGCUACGGGUCGUUGUCGGAAUCUGUUUAGUGAUCUGGGUUGCUACCGGUGUAGCAGGUAUGGCCACGUCGUCAGGGAUUGGCCAUAGGAAGCAAGUCCGUUGAAUUUUCGUGUGUUCAGGUGGACGAAAAGGAGGUCGACUGUCUGACGAUCGGGGAGGAGCAGUGAGUGUACCUGCUCCAGUCAUUUUCGGGGUUGGUUCAAGGGUUUGAACGAGGGAGUUGUGACUAGUUUCUUGUAGCCUUAGUAAUUAUGUUUGGAAGAGCCAUUGGGAUUGUCGAGGGAAGGGAAAGUUGUCGUUGAAGUUUUUGUUAAACUAUCCGUUCGUUGGACUCCGAGAUCUGGGCGUGAUAUCGCUUUUAAGUGUUUUGAAGUCAUUGAUGUGUUAGUUGGUUUAUGGGAAUUGUGUUGUUUUAGAAGGGUUAUUCAUGGUGUUCUAGCUUUGGUAAGCACCGAUCAUCAGCAAGGUGAACAUUGGAAUGUAAUGAGGAUUGGGAAUCCUCCAGUUUUUGUGUGCUGAGCAGACUUAGUUGAAACUAAGUGGGGGAGAAUCAUCCAGGUAUCCAGGACAAAAGAAAGGGUGAAAGUGAUGUAAGACUAUGGAGGAGCCGUAGCAUUCACUACUGGUCAGUUAGGGUAUAGUGUUGUAAGACUGCGGGGGAGCCGUUGCAUUCACUAGCAGUAGAGAGUGUUGUAAGACUACGGGGGAGCCAUAGCAUGCACUAGCGGUAGGGAGUGUUGUAAUACUACAGGGGAGCCAUAACAUUCACUAGCAGUAGAGAGUGUUGUAAGACUACGAGGGAGUCGUAGCAUGCACUAGCGGUAGAGUGUGUUGUAAGACUGUGGGGGUGCCGUAGCGUUCACGGAGUCUUUCAAGUGAUUUGGACUAGGGUAGGCUAGUUCGCAAGGUUGUGGGAGGGGGGGGGGCACAGCUUAUUUAGGAUCAUAACCAGAGGUGAUUGACCGAUCAGUUAUCUGGAGACGAUCCGGGUGGUAUUGGGAAUUCAGGUUGGAACCGGUAAAGACUGUUGAGAUAAGGGUUAGACCUUGUGAUACAGGAUCAUAUGGAUGGGUAGUGUAUGUUACAGAAGGGCUACGGCUGGGUAGCCCUGAUAUUGGAUCUCAUAAUAACCUGGUGGUUGGACCGGGUGCGAGACUGGAAGUCUCAGGGAAUCGGCUAAGGGUAUUUAGUAAUCAGUCGAGUAAAGGAUGACAGGAAGUCAUGGGGCAUUAUGCAAAUUCCAAUUCAAGUAUCUCUAGAUAGGAGCGAAGUAACAAUUCGGAUUGGAUAGGAACCUGUAACGCCCGUGUUUCUGGGAUUGCCAUUUUUAGCAAUGUANNNNNNNNNNNNNNNNNNNNNNNNNNNNNNNNNNNNNNNNNNNNNNNNNNNNNNNNNNNNNNNNNNNNNNNNNNNNNNNNNNNNNNNNNNNNNNNNNNNNUGAAAUCGGUCUUUUCUGGCCGAGAUUUUGGGGAUGUCACAGAACCCGAAUCGGCAAUUUGUGCAGGGCUUUGUUUCAGUAAGAUGGGAUGUAGGGCAUCUUUAUGCCAAGGGCAUCGAGGGCAGAAUUCCAGGGUGGUGAACGGGUUGGUUUGAUGGUAGUUUAAACUAUUGUGAUGUGUCUCGGGUGGCUCUAUCUGUAAUAGAGCCACGAUAUGUCAGAAUCAGGAAAUGGUAGGUUGGAGGAGACCGGGUAUGAUGUAAGACUACAACUAUGCUGGUAGUAUCCACCUUUUGCGUUGGAUUCAGUGACGACAGGUUGUCAUCCUAUCUCGAUCGGAUGGAUCAAAUGGAUUGAAGGGGAUAGGGCUGUUAUGGAUAGACGAGGUAUCCUUCGGAGGUCGCUGGGGACUGCUGAAUGUGUUUUGGCUCAGCAAUCGGGUAGGUGUCCAGUGUUCAGGACAGUUGGCAGACAGGGUGGGGGCCAGGGAGGUACCCGGUUAUUCAGCUGGAAAGCAGUCAUGUGGCAUCAAGAGGAGUAGGAGCGACUUCAGUGAUUUGGGGUCUGUGUAUGGAGUUGUUUUUUAUUUGUUAGCCGCAGUUGAUCGGUGACUUUGUUCUUUAGGAGGCCUCAAGGUAUGGCGAGUGGGAAGUAUUCUAUUUAGACUGGUUUUCUUAUGGAACCAGUCUGACGAUGAUCAUAUGUGGGCAGCCUGUCGGGGAGACAAACCACCUCAAGACUUUAGAUUUCAGAUGGAGCAGAUGUGAUCAGAUUUCAAGGAAUUCGUUCAUUCGUGGAUAUUGUGUUGCCAAAGGUGUCCCCCUGAAAAGGGAUUAUCAGGUUUUGGAAGAGAGGCAAGUUGGGGCCUCGGUAUACAGGUCGUUCAAGAUCUCGGCCCGGAUGGGCAAGGUAGCGUAUCACUUGGAUUUGCCGAAGGAGCUUAGCCAAAUUCACAACACAUUUCAUGUGUCGCAACUUUGGAAGUGUGUCACUGACGAGUCCGCAUUCGUUUCGUUGGACGACAUUUAGGUAAGUGAGAUUCUGAACUAUAUUGAGAAGCCAGUUGCAAUUCUUAAUAGGAAGACCAAGGGUCUUCGGAAGCAUGAAAUAAGGUUGGUAAGGAUGCAAUGGCAGCACUGAAAGGGGCUCUGAAUGGAUUUGGGAACUAGAAGAGGAAAUGCGAGAGCAUUGCCCAUAAUUGUUUGGGUCAGCAGACUUCGAGGACGAAGUCUAGUUCAAGUGGGGGAGAUUUGUAACACCUGUUUCGAGUAUCGGUUAGAAAGUACCAUUUGGGGGAAAUGUUAUGCAUGGAAUUGGCGAGUUGGGAGUCCAACUCAUCGAGUAGGGUCGAGGCAUUUUGGGCACGGGUCGGAACUGACUCGGCGAGUCGGAAGGCCUGACUCGGCGAGUUAGAGUUAUUUAGGGAAAAACCCUAAUUUCGGGGUUUGCCCCUAUAUAAACAUCAUUAUCUGCCCCAAUGGCCUCCCUUAUCACCAUAGGAGAACGUCCACGGUCGCAAACCCGCUAGUGUGUGAAGUAAGAACGUUUGGGAGUUUAUCUUUGGGGGUUUUAGGGAGGAUUCCAAGCUUGAAGAGGAAGUAUCAAGGGGGAAGUUCUAGAUCAAGCAUCUAUUUCGUGUUGAACUCCUGAAUGAGGUAUUAAUCUGCUAUCUUAAGCUUUGAUUUCUUUGGAAGAUUGUGGCCAUCCUUGAGAACAUAGAACCAAGUUUGGAUCUGGACCUAUCACAAGGAUAUGGUUCUAGAUCUGGAUCUUCUUAGGUCCCAAUUGUCAUAAAGUUGUCUCCUUGGUGCACCCUAAUUCUUAUUCAUGCAUUAGAGACUUGUAAGAAGCUUGUUGAUGUAUUUUUGGCAUUACGAGACUUUGUAUGAACGUAAAGUUGGCAACUUUACGUGGUAUUAUCACUAGUAGAGUAUAGAUAUGAAGUUUGGGACCUUGACUCCCAAUGGAAAGGGCCGUAAACAUAAGGGACUAAGGGGACUCGACGAACCGUGCAAGUGACUCGGCGAGUCGAGAGGGUUUUCUCGUUCACGACCAAGGGUUUAAGGUCAAGGGUGUUCGGUUAGAAGUUUACGACCAUAAACACCAAGGAACUCGACGAGUCACUGGUAUGACUCGGCGAGUUGGUGAGUUAAAUAGGAACUCGACGAGUAGGGGUGAGCAUUUGGACCGGCCCGAACCGAACCGGACCGGACUGACUCUUGGACCGGACCGGUUAUGGAGAAUUUUGUGGACCAUGGACCGGACCGGAUGAGUCGUGUCCGUGUCCGUGUCCGUGUCCGGGUCCACGUCCGGGUUUUCCGGUUUUUGGACCCGUUUGGACCGGUACAACUUUAAUUGCAUAGAGUAUAAUAAGUAAUCUACAUUGAUGUAUAAUAUUAUAACUUGCAAAAUUAAUAUGUUUCCGUUUCAUGCCUAACUAAUCUACAUUGAUGUAUAAUAUUAUAACUUGCAAUUUGCAAAAAUUAAUUUUCCAAAUAAAAGCAACUAACAUAUAAAUCAAGUUCACCAACAAAAGUUAAACAAUUUUAAGACAAACAUACAAAAGUAUUACCGUAACAACAAAAAUCAUAGUUUAAACUUUAAAAUCAAUCAAACUAACAAAUUUCAUAAACUCAUAAUCUAAUCUUCCAUUGGCCUCUUCCCCAUAUCAUUGUCAUCCAUAUGUAACAUAUUUAAAGCUUGUGCAAUCUCUACAUAAACACAAAUGAAAAUGUUGUUAGUAUUUAAUAAAAAGUAAUAAUUGUAUAAAAAAAGAAUAAAGAUUGUAAUUUUUUUACCCAAAGCUAUAUCAUCAUCGUUCAAGAUGUCACCAACGUUGUCAACUAUCGGAUUUGUAAACUUUAUCACCCAAUCUUGGGUGCAUAACAAAGCUUCAACUAUCAAUGUCGAUAAACUAGUUUGAUACUCACUUACAACUCUACCACAAGUGCUAAACGCGGACUCGGAAUUAUAGUAUAAAAUAAUACUAAAAAGCUGAAAUAUUUCAGCUUUGAUAGCUCUACUUUGAAGGAUUGUAACUCAAUGAAUAUAAUACCAAAAUAAACAAAAUUAUAGUCUAAAUUCAUCUACAAAUUGUAAACUAAAUGUUGGAAAAAACCGUAGGUCAAUCCGACUUAAAACGAAUGAGUUAUGGGUGUUUAAAAAACGUCACAGAUUAUAAAAUCUUGCUAAAAAGCUGAAUUUUUUCAACUUUGAUAGCUCUACUUUAAAGGAUUGUAGCUCAGUGAAUAUAAUACCAAAAUAAACAAAAUUAUAGUCUAAACUCAUCUAAAAACUGUAAACUAAAUGUUGGAAAAAAUCGGAGGUCAAUCCGACUUAAAACGAAUGAGUUAUGGGUGUUUAAAAAACGUCACAGCUUACAAAAUGUUGCUGAAAAGCGGAAUUUUUUCAGCUUUGAUAGCUCUACUUUGAAGGAUUGUAACACGGUGAAUAUAUUACCAAAAUAAACAAAAUUAUAAUCUAAAUUCAUCUACAAAUUUUAAACUAAAUGCUGGAAAAAACUGCAGGUCAAUCCGACUUAAAACGAAUGAGUUAUGUGCGUUUAAAAAACGUCAUAAAAAUCUUAAUCAUGUCCAACCGGUUCUAAACCCGGUAAAAACCGGACCGGACCGGGAAAAAAACCGGACCGGACCGGCGAGAAAUCUUAGAACCGAGAACCGGACCGGGGGUCCAAAAAAACGGUCCGGUCCACCGGUCCAAAUGCUCACCCCUAUCGACGAGUGUCAGGUCACACUCGACGAGUCAAGGUCGGCAUGGAUUAUCGACCUUGACCUUGAUCAGGGUUGGCCCUGGGGGUAUUUAUGGAAUUAUGCUGAGUUAUUUAUUCAUUGAUUAUGGGCAGUCGAGAAGGAGCAGCGUGUGGGAUAUAUCUGACUUCGGCUUAUCAGUUCAGCAUUCGAGAGGCGAGUCUUCUCACCAUACCAAUGGGUCUAAAGCACCAAGGCCGGCCCAUUUAUCCAGUUGUGAUGAUUGUUGUGAAUGUGCUAUUGAUACAUUAUGUAUUAUGUGAAGACCAUGCGGGGGUUCCCAUGGCAUAUAGUUAUAUAUGUAGUAUAGUAGUUGAUUGUGUGGAAUUUGGUAUGCUAGUUGUCUUUGUGAUACUUGCAUGGAAGACCCCGGGGGGCUCCCGAGGUAGUUGGACAUAAGACCAUGUGGGGGUUCCCAUGGCAGUGGGCUAAGAUCACGUGGGGGUUCCCGUGGCACCCGAUGUAAGACCUUGGAGGGUUUCCAGGGCAUCCUUAUAUGUUUGUAUGUUUAGCUCAUAUCUUUAUAUGUAUAGUUUGCAUUAUGUAUUGUUUGGCAGGAAGACCUUGUGGUGGUUCCUAAGGCAGGAAGACCAUGUGGGGCUUCCCAUGGCAGAUAAGACCACAUGGGGGUUCCUGUGACACUAGGUGUAAGACCUUUUAGGGUUUCCAUGGCUUCCUUAUAUGAUUCUAUGCAGGGCUUAUGUGGUAGAGAUAGAUUUUAUAGGUAAUAUGAUAUUUGUUAUGUGGAUUGUGUGUGGGUAUGCUCUGGGGGACUCAAUAAGCUUUGUGCUUACGGUUUACAGUUUUGGUUUCAGGUAUUAUUGAUUGGGAAAGAAGAGCUCGGACUGAUCGCAAUGCAUACACCUACGAUUUCCGCAAUGAAUGAUUUUGGGAUGAACUCUGAUAAAUGAUUUACUUAGCGAUGAUUUAAAAUGUUUGAAAUAAAUGGUAUCAAUGUCUUAGCUAUAAUAAAAUGAAAUUUUUACCCUUGAUUGUUGGGUCGUUAUAGUUGGUUUUAUGAAUUAUUAAACUAAAGAUGAAAUUUUUGGUCUUGAAAAUUGGGAUGUUACAUUGAAAAUCAUUUCAAAUAAAAGAUUUAUCAGAGUUCAUUCCCAGAAAUGACAUAUUGCGGAAAACAUAGGUGUAAGAUUUGCGAUCGUCCCGAGCUCUUUUAUUUGAAAAUUGAAGGUACCUGAAACCAAAACUGAAAAGCGUAUGCACAAAGCCUAGUGAGUUCCCCAAAUACCACAUACCAUACAUAUCAACAUACUACCUAACAAAUCUGGGUGCUAGCCUACCCCUUCUGUCUCUUUCAACCGGAUAUUGUCUAGUCAUAUAAGCACAUAAAUCACAUACUGACAUACAUAACCGUGAGCCAUACAUAUCAUUCAUAUAUCAUAAUAAAUAAAGAUGCUAUGUGUUGAUACAUAGUCUUGCUAUUAUGCCACAGACCGCCACGUGGUCUUUCUUUCCAAGCCGGGGGCCACCCCGUGGGUCUUACAGAUAAGUGCCAAGAGGAACCUCUUGGUCUUCCAUGCAAGCAUCACAAAGACAUCUAACAUACAUACUACUCUACUUAGCUAAUUAGCAUACAGUGUGCUAUGAGCUACCUCCUGGUCUUUUAUACAUAAUGCCUAGGGCUAACCCUCGGGUCUUCCUAUCAUACAUAAUAGCAUACAGUGUGCCAGGAGCCGCCUCCUGGUCUUUCAUACGUAAUGCCUAGGGCUAACCCCCAUGUCUUCCUAUAUCACAUAAACCAAAUGGGCCGGUUAUGGUUCUUUCGAUCCAUACAAACAGUGAGGAGACUCACCUCGAAUGCAGAAGCUCCCCGGAAGAAAUCCUUAGUUGCUGCCCCGCCGACUUUCCGAGCUAUCAAUACCAAAAUCGUUUUCGACGUUCUUUAUAUCCAUGGAAAUGUAUUAAGGAGCUCUAUAACCCUAUAUAAUUACUUUUGACUUGAAACACAUCGAACUAAAAUCCAUAAUUCAUAAAAGAAGUCUGAAAACACUACAUUUCCAUUUUACCCUUUGACUCCAAAGUGCAAACCGAACUAUUGGGUCACAUAUCUACAUUACCUACAUCCAAAUGAGCCUAAAUCUUACCUUUUCAAAGGCCCUAAUCCUUAUGAUGGCCGCUCUUCGGGACAUAUCCUCGAAUUAGGAAAUGAUUCGGAACAGGGCGUUACAAAUGCAUGACACUGAAAUCGAAAAUUAAGAUCGGUUAAGUAUUAGCCAAUAAACGAGAGUUGAAGAUCUCAUGAAUAGGAAUUCGUCAAUAUAAAGAAGUCGAGAACGGAUGUCGUAUGGAAGAGUUAUAACUUUUAUACGGACUUUAACAAUCUAAGUCUGUUAAAAAUAUAACUUUAAAAAUAAAGUGAAAAUUAACCGACAUAGGCUAAAUGAAAGUUGUAGUACUCGUUGAUAGCUACACGUGGAUAUAAAAAAUUUCGAAAACGAAGCUCAUAUGAGGAAGAUACGAUUUUUAUAAGUUUUUCGAAAAACGCCACGCGUAGGUACGUAAGCGCGACGCGCACGUGCUCUAGAUGGUGGGUGAGUCCCACCAGAUUUAAGACACAUGGCACACGAAGGGUGGAGCAGCAUCAAUCAAUAGGCACAAUGUGCCUCAGGAGGGUGCGCGGUGCACCCCAUUAACCCUAUAUAUAUAUAUANNNNNNNNNNNNNNNNNNNNNNNNNNNNNNNNNNNNNNNNNNNNNNNNNNNNUAUAUAUAUAUAUGUUCCGUUUUCAUCUCAUUUUCUCACCUAUUCAGCCUCAAAUCCUCUGGAAACCCUCCCACACCCCUAGCCCCGAUACUCCCUAGUUCCCGGUUACUUUAGCAAGGCUCUGAGGUAUUUGAGAACCUAGAUAAAUUGAAGUGCUCAGGUCGGAGUUAUGCCCUGGCAAUUUCUCGGUUUUUGCUAGAAACUUUGUAAGUUAAGCUACACUUACUAGGUUUUUAGGAUAGCUUAUGUUUAUAACUAUAGUUAUUAUUAUGAGCCUAUAAGUACCUGAUUAGUCAUUAAUUCAUGUUAAAUACAUUGAUUGUUCUACUUAUAGGAGAGGUGUCUAGAAUUGUCACAUUGGCUUGGUUGUUGGAUUUUAGAAAGUUAUAUGCCGAAAUGGCCCUGCCUCCCAACUGUCCUGCCUGACUGAUCCUUAUUUGAUAGCCAUGAAAGUAUAUUUGGAAUUAAUGAAGAAUCUAACUUCUACCAGAUUGCCAUAGAUAUUAAUAAGAUAUAAUAGUAUAGGAUAAUACAUAAUAAAUACGUACCACCCGUCAGAUCAUUCAAAGGAUAUUUGAUAACCGUCUGAGUAAUUAUCCAAGUGGGUUGUCUCACUAUACUAUGUAUUAAAAUAUAUGUCCAUGUAUGUUAGGAUAAAGAGCUAGUAGAGUAGAGUUGAUAGUAUAAUAUAUAUGUACUUAAAUGUUAAUGUACUUGAAACUGGUAGAGUAGAAAGUAUAAAUGUGCAUGUGCUAGUAGAGUCUAAAGUGCAGUCUUUAGGUGUGUAAUUGUUGUGAUAUUUGAAUUGUCUAUUAAUAUUUAGUUAGGGGAUGGUAGCAGAACCGCAAAGAGGUCGAGAGCCUAUAGGCCCGCGUGUUGACGAAAUGGCAUAUAGGUCGUAGUACACAUAGACCCAUGUUGAAGAAAAAUGGUUGGGCUGUAAGCCUAAGAUACACAUAUUAUUGGCAGAUUGUGAGUCAUUAUUUGUAUGCAUGUAUAUGUAUUGUGGUAUAUGGUAUUUUAGGGACCUCACUAAGUUUCGUGCUUACCUAGUUGAUUAUAAUUGUUUUUCGGGUGCUUCAUUGAUUCAUGAGAACGGCAAGGUUCGACAGUACAUACGUGCAUUCGUGCCAUGUUUACGCAUAUUGUAAUUAUACUCUAAUAUAGUUGAAUAAAUAAAAAUGAAAUUUUUAUGUUGAAAAUCGGUACGUCACAAGUAUGCUAAAUAUUUUUGUUCUUUGGGUUUGUGUUUAUGGUUGAAUACCCAAUAUAGUAUAUGGGUUUAGGGUUUUUUUUGUUGGUGGUAGAUGAUGAUGAUGAUGUUUGAUUUGUGUGCUUGUAAUAGUUAGUAAGGAAAAUUUGGCUUUAUAUGGACAUAAGGUCAGAAGUGACCUAUCUUUUUAGUUACCAAAACCUAAUUUAGUCGGUUUAAGUAGCCACAUUAGCAUUGACGUGGAUGAUGUAUGGAAGAAACGACGUCGUUUUAGUCUAAAGCGUAUUAAGGAUGUGUACACCUCACGUGUGUGACUGUUCUCCCUAUAUAAUGUCCUUUGUGCCUUAAAAUGGUUAAAUUUCCAAACAUUAUUACCACAAUUCUUCUAAAAACAUCCAUACCCUAAUCUCUUGAAAAAUGUUGAAUGUUUCUUCACAUACUCACAAUUGGUCGUUCAACUACAAGCACCAUCUGGAUGACAAUGCUUCCAGUGGCUUCCGUUUACAAGACAUGUAGAUUAUCCUACUACAAACGCAGUUAGAGAUGUCACUUAUGUUGCAAACAAGCUUGAGCUAAAGGUGGAUGAUCUUAAGGUUGGUCACAUUGAUGUUUCCAACAUGUUCGGACGAUAUGAAGAACCAUUUCUACUCCUAUAAGUUGCUUGUGUGAAGGUGACAACAAAUUUUAUGGUGAUCAAGUCGAUGGUGAACAAAAUGACAGGGUUUUAUGGGUUUGGUUAGUGUUAUUGGUGUUAGGAUUGCUAGUUACAUGUUCUUCCACUGAUGGAGGUUAAAUAUUUUGGUUUUUUGGGUUUAUGUUUAUGAUUGAAUACCCAAUAUAGUAUAUGGGUUUAGGGUUUUUGUUGUAACUUCUAAAUGUUAUAUGAUUAUUUAUGAAGAAGGACUUACGAGUUUUUACAACUAGUUUAAGAAUGUAUUCCAUUCCAUAAAAGAGAUUCUUUAUCAUUUACUAACAUGAUUUUAAAAAUGAUUUUCGGGAUUCCCAUCAGUGUAAGGAAUGUGUCAAUUCUUUUAACUUUAAAGAUGACAAAUCCAUAUAUUACUUAGUAGGUAUUCUAAGUCCCUAAACUAUAUAUUUUGAAUUUUUGAUAUGUAUUUAGAUAAGUGGGAAGAUUGAAGAUCUUAGAGGAGGACUUGGACAUUUAAAAUGUCAUUUAAAACUUUUGUUUGGAAACUUAUUAAUGACUUAUACUAUGAGAUCAUAUUUUUUUCCGCAAAUUAUGAUUUUAAAAGAAUACUAAGUGUUUUAAAACGAUUUAAUCUUUUAAACUAAAAUAUAGGUGGGGUGGCGAGAAGAGACGAGGUGGGUGAUGAAAAAAUCUAUUAGGCUGCACUGAGUGCAUUUAGCACACCAUCGGCAGCAGUGACAUGGACCCCAUGAACUGCAGACCCUGAACUAGUCAUGUCAGGGCAACUCAACAAUGACAAAUUUAGUCUUUCUUUUUUUUCCUCCCUUCUUCCUCCCUUUCUUCCUUGUUGGAGGUGAGGUGGAGCUUGAUGAGCUCAACACCUCUCCCCUUCGGCCUUUAGGGAUUAGGGAUUUAGGAGGGUGGGUUUGUGUUGGUGGGACCCACAUGUAUUUAUUUAUUAAAUAAUUUUCCUUAUAAGAUAAUAAUGGUAAAAGAAAAAUAAGGUAUAGCAUAAAUGUCAUUUUCAAGUAUGGCAUUUUCAAGUAAUUUUUCUAAUCAUUAGUUUUUCAAAAUCUAUCUUUUACUCACUAUUCACUAAUCAUUCUAAAACUAAUGAAACCUAGUUUUAAUCAGGUCAGUCUAUCUAUCUAAUAUCAAUCAGUCAUGUUUGGUUUAAAAAUGGUUGUGCUAUAAGUACCCCUUAGCCUUUAAAAACACAAAAGACAGAGCAGAAGCUUUAUAAGAACAAAACAAACAUAUUUCACCUUCUAACAAACAACAUUCAAUCACAACAAGAAGCACAAAAAGCACAUAAUCUAAGUUAAGUUAAGUUGUAAUAAACAACAUUCCGCCAUUUUUGAUCAAAGUCCAAAGGGCAGAACAUGUAGUCCAACUGAAAAAAGAGACCUGAAUUUACAACACCCCAAAAAACAAACCACAUUCAUCAUUAUCUUCUUCUAAUGAAGAUCAAAAGCCCCACCAUCUCCUUGACUCACAAGCAACUCCUAAAUAACAACAUCAAACAAACAAACAUUUCAUCAGUUUCCAGAAUCUUCUAGAAGGGACUAAACACAACCAAACAUGAAUAAUAUAUAUACCAUUUUCUUUGCAGCCACAGACUGCUGAAGCCUUGCUUGCUUCUCCCUUCUGCACUCCCCACACCAAUUCAAAUACUCCUUCUGAUGUUUCCUCAACUCUCUAAACACAGAACUGCAAAAUAAAAAACAAAAAUAAAAUUAAUUAAAAAUUGGUCACAUAUAAUAUUAAAAAGUUGAAAAUUUAAUUAAUACCUUCUGCACCACAGCAGUAAAUUCAUUCUCUGUCCUGAUGUGGUGGCUUGUGCACCAUGUCGAUGUCGACCACGAUGAAUAAUCGCACGUCCAGGUAAAUGUGCAUGAUCAUAAAUUUCCUGUAAAAUUAAACAUGAAAAUGAAUUUUUAUUUAUAUAAUAUUACAACGAAAAUUUAUAAACAUACCUCAGGAUGUGUUUCAGUAUUCACAUGUUUCUCACAUCGAACACCUCUAAAAAACAACUCCCCACCAGUAAAAUUCUUCCCCAAGCAUACAUUCAAAGUUACCUCAGAGUCAUCCACAUGGAACCCUAAAAAAUAAACAAACAUAUAUAUAUAUAUAUAUAUAUAUAUAUAUAUAUAAAGNCAUAUAUAUAUAUAUAUAUAUUAAUUACAAGGAAUAAAUCAAAUCAAAUAAAAUCAUUAUUUAAAAUAAAAAAACAUAUAUACAUACCCAGUUCAACAUCUCUAUCCAUUCCAUAUUCAACUACAAAUCCAUGAUGGGAAUCAAGAGAAUACCCUCCAACAUCAAGGAAGAAAACUGCAUAUAAUUUCAAAACCAGAAACAGAUUUAAUAACAGAGAUCUUGAAACAAUUCUUCUACACUUUUUAUAUAUAGAUAUAAAAAAAAACUUACUUUUUGAGAUAUGGCGAAUGAACUCUUCCAUAAGCUUCUCAAGCAUGGAUUCCAUGCCAAAGUCAUCAAGAACAGCACCAUAUUUGUUCAUGGUAUUGGGUCGCAUGAUUCUGAAUUUUGUUUCAUGGACCCAUUUUUCAAAAUUUUCUACCUAAGGCAGCAAUCACAACCUGAUAAGACAAUGUCCGAGAUAAGUUUUACCCAAUCACAGGAUUAUGAUAACAAAUGAAUACCUCAUUUAGCAACAUAUCACAGAAACGUGGCUGGAGCAUAUCGAAUGUAUACACUCCUGGAGCAGGUUCAGACAUUAUGCUUCUGAUACUUUCGUCUCUGUUCUUAUCAUUCGCACUAAAUGCCUUCCAAAAGGAUUGGACAAAAAAGCUUGAAGGAUUCAAUGUAUAAAGUUCUCUGUACAGAGGCUGACAAGAAAAUCAAAAUGUCACAGUUUGAUUUUGAUAGAUGUAAACAAGAAGAACCUUUCACUUCCACUCAAGAUGAAAUUUACCUGGUAAUUGGAUAUGAUCUUUUGCCUGUACUCUCUGUGCUUCUGGUCCUGUUGAAAUGAAACAAUGGAAAAGAUGAUUAACGAUUCCUUCAGAUCCUCUAAAUAUCAAACAGAAUGCAAAAUUCGUGUGUAAUAUUCUACGCAUAUGCAAUUUAGUCUUGAAAACAAAUCAAUUGCUCAUCAUCCACGGAAAAUUCAAAUUUAUGCAAGCAAUGCAGCAUAAAGCGAUGUUUAAUGCAUAUGCUUACUCGAGUACGCUCUCCUUCAGUCGAAUAACGACGCAGAAUGUCCCGCAUGUACUUAUACUUUGUGUCUCGAGAAGCAUUCAAGAGAUUUGGAGGCAAGUAUCGCUCCAGAGAACUGAAAAGCAGGGGAGUGAACUCCAUCCCUAGAUCGUCGUAGUUUUCCGCCUUGUGGUCUUGAUUAGGGUUCAAUCGGAGACGGUAGCUGGCGUUGGACGGCGCUGCACCAGUUCCGUUACCAUUACCGUUGGUCACGGCAGCAACUGCCGUCGACAUAGGGGCCGAUGACUCAUUUCCCCUUUCAACGGCCUUAUCAAGAGACAUGGCAGUUUUGUGCAGAUUGAAGGGAAAUUUUAGGGUUUGAAAUGUAGGAACUUUGUGGGUGCAUAUUAGGGUUUGAUUGUGGCCAAAUUAUAAUGUGUUUAAUGUUUUAAAACCCGAACCGAUUAAUUGAAUCCGAAUUUGAUUUGAUAAACCGAUACACGAUGGAACCACGUGUAAUCUAUUAAUUGGGGAAUGGGGAUGAUUCGGUCGUGAUGAAACUCGACAUCAUUCGACUGUAUUGAUUGAUGACAACUCGAUCGAACAUGUAACUAAUGCAUGAUUGUGUUAUUAUUGAACCCUAAAGUCAUUAUUUAUGUAACAUCCAUAAAAAUCCAAGACAUUUUAAAACUUUUUAAAACAUUUAAAAAUCAUUAAGUUAUUACAAUUCGUUUUCAAAAUAGUAUCAUAUCAGAGUUCCCAGAAAUCAUAAUCAUAAAUCGAAGAAGUGUACGGUCACGCCUUCGCCUUCCCACGAUCGUCCGAAGUACCUGAAACAAUAAUCGAUAAAUGUAAGCUCGAAGGUUUAGUGAGUUACCCCCAAAAUACCAACGUCAUACAUAUAUAACCAUAUCAUAUAAACAUAUAAGCAACAACAUGCAUAAUGAGCCAUCAGUCGGACUGGACCGACUCCCGGUCCUCAGUCUAUCUGGACCGCUCUCCGAACCCUUGGCACGUCUGGAUCACCCUCCUCGGGGCCUUUAGCCUAUCCGGACCGCUUGUUGGGCCUUCGGCCUGACAGGAUUUGCCCGGCCCGGGCCUAGAGUCUACCCGGUCCGCCCAGGAUGUCUUGGCCUACUGCACACAGCAGGACUUGCCUCAACCCUUUCCCCAAACCAACAAACAUGUGCACAUACAUAUAAACAAGUAAACAUGCAAAUCUAACAGAUCACUAAUCAUGGCAACCAUCCUAUAAUCAGGACACCGAUCUAACCGAUCACUAACAUAGCAACCAUCCUAUAACCAGGAUAUUGAUCUAACCGAUCUCUAACAUAGCAAUCAUCCUAUAACCAGGAUACAUAUCAUAAAGCAUAACGUGUAAUAAACCCAGAUACACAUCCAAAAAGGGCCGACAUUGGUGCCUUAGACCCAAUUGAUAUAGUGAGGAUAACUCAGCUCUCAACGGUCGAAUUGAAGUGAUAAGCUCAAGCUCUCGGAUCACCGUAACAAACUUCACCACCUAUAUUCACCAUAGAACCAUAUCCAUAAAUUUCCAAUUUCCCAAAAUACCCUAGAAGUCAACUAGUCAACCCUUGAGUCAAAGUCCAAGUCAAUGGUCAAGGUCAACAGUCCAUGUUGACCCGACUCGUCGAGUGCAGUUCACCGACUCAUCGAGUCCUUCUUGAACUCGAGAAGUCGUGAAAUCCCCCAUCGACUUGUCGAGUUUCCCUACAACUCGCCUAGUUCAUGCAUGUUCAAAAGUCGGGAAAACCCUAGCUGACUCGCUGACUCUUCCUACUGACUCGCCGAGUCCAUGCAGAAACCCUUGCACGACAAUCUUCAUCGGACUCGCCGAGUUGACCAAUCAACUCGUCGAGUCGCUUCAAUCCAACACUCAUUCAGACGAAUUUAAGCUACUACAAAGGUCCAUAUUGCAUAUCAAGCUUCCCAAGGCAUGUUUAUCACGCAAAGUUGCAAACUUUACGUGCAUGCAAGGUCUUAAGAUCCAAAACCAAGCUAAAAAAGAGGCUUAAGGCAAUGGGAAGGCCAUAGCUUGACAAAGGCUGAGACUUUAUGACCAUAAGGGGUUAAAGGGGUCCAGAUCUGAAGUUGCAACCUCAGAUCUUGGCCCAAAUCCGGAAAUACCACCACAAUACCCUAAAAAGGGUUCUAAACCAUGAGUGAAAAGAUCUACUUAAUGGAGAGCCAAGGUAACGACUUGUUACCUUCCAUGAGAUGUUAAUAUGGAAUAGAGUUCAGAUCCCCAACUAUCCUUUGCUCAAAGCUUCUUGAUCUUCAAGUUCCUCUCACCAAAAUCCACAUUCCAAGCUUAAAGCACACAAGUAUAGAGAGUAAACACGAAUUAGGGUUUGAGCUCGAGUGUGAGGGGUGUAAGGGAGGCCAAGGGAGGCUAAUGACUCUUUAAAUAGGGUGCAAUACCCUGGAAAUUAGGGUUUCAUCCACCAGCUCUAACUCGUCGAGUCUGUCCUCCGACUCGCCGAGUUGAUCACUUAAGUGUGCGGUCCAAACGCGUUCCUACUUGACGAGUCAGGGCAUCCAACUCGUCGAGUAUACUUUCAAUAUGAAAGAAUGAAGCUGAAAUUUAAUACUUAAGAGUCGGAGCGUUACAAUUUAUGUGCAUAUGUAAUCAUUGAUAUGUUAUGUCACGAGGCUAAAGUCUUAAAAGACCAUCGAUGAUGAUAAAGUGAUUUUAUGACAUGAGUUUAUAGAGUAGUUCAUAUAUAAUGUUCUUGAUAAAACUAAUGAUUUCAAUAUCAAAGAAAAAUAGUUGAAAAUGAAGUAUGAGGAGUCGUCAAUAAAAAUUUGUGGGUGAAUUGUUCAUUUGAGGCAUCACGAGCAUUUGUGUGUGUCAGGUAUGACUAUAUCUAAAUAUUUGAUUUAUUAAUCAUAUUUUGAGUAGUGAUACCUGAUGGGUUUUAGUAUAAUACAACAUCCUAUGAUGCACAUACAACCCUAAAUGCUUUGGAUCUAUGUUUUCUCUAAUUAUACAUGCAUUGUUGUUUCCAAAGCAUUAAGCCUACAACUAGCAUACAAUUUACAUAAACAUCAUAGAAAUGAGUUAUAGAAUUACUUAUUUGUUGUAGCUUGUAGUUUGGCCUUUAAGAACUUAGCACCAAUAGUGUGAAUGCCUCAAAUGGAAUCACAACACAUGUUUGGACAGAGACAAUUUUUGAGAGAGUAUGGUGUACACAAAUCGGUUAUGGCUCUCCAAGAACAUUCUAGUUUCUCUAGCACCAAUUUCACCAACCAAGGAGUUUAUUAUAUAGUGUGGCACAACUAGGGUUACACCAUGCAAACCCUAAUAUGCAUGACUUUCCACAUUCCUUAGGCUCCAUGGGUUUUAACCUCCAUGAAGUAUCCAUGGGUCACCACAUGGGUUUAACCCAACAUAAAGAACUAUGGAUCAUAAGCUCACUUUAUAAGAAUGAAUGAUUUACACAAUCAAUCCCCAUAUAUUUAAUUAGUAUCUUUUGAUCACAAAAUUAGUUCCAAAUUAGUUCUUGAUCAAUACUAAUUAAAUAAUAUGAUUUUAUAUUAAUAUAUUAAAACUUAUAAUAUAUUAAUAAAUCACAAAUAACUUCUUCUCAAAAGUUCGUCCUAUCAAGUUGUCGUGGUGAUACGCAACCUAAAUGGAUCAUGCUUCUCUCGGGUUAAGUACAUACCAAUUAUAGUUAUGAACUUAGACACUAAUCCCACUUGGAUAAGUCUAAUAACUAUUAUUGCAAGUACAACUUGAAAACCGACUAGCAAUUGUAGCUCUUAAAAGCUGUUGUCGAACUCUGGCCUAAUCAAUGACACGUCCAUUAGAUAAGGGAUCAUAUAUUCCUCCAUUAUAGAUAUCAUAUGGACAUGAUACAUGGAUUAUAAUCAUUCUUUAUGUCCAUCUGUUGUUUUCCAAUUUUCGAUUUAUGACGACCGACUAAUUGAACAAAUCAAAUUAGUCCAGGCUUGGCCAAAUGCUUAGAGGUGUCAUCAUUAAAUCAUCGAGGGGCCCACAGAUAUUGAUUUUAUCCCUCCAAGGGUAAAAGGAAUGGAUAAACUUUGACUCAAAUGCUUUCUUGUACUUACUCAUCAAAUCACACACAACAAUAUUUUUUAUAACACCAAGUUACUGGUGCGUUUACAUAUGUCAAUGUGCAAUCGAAUUGUAAACUACAACUCACAUGUCUUGGUUUCAAGAAUAUAAGAUAUUAUCGUCUCAUGAUCACUUGUGAUAAAAUCCAUGAAGUGAUUCAACUGAGCGUGGAUUGAAUCCAAUACUCGAAUCUUAUUCCAGGAGCACUCAUGAACACUGUAGCUAUGUCUAAAACACCUAGACAAACUACAGACCCAUUCAUGACAGUCUUGCCUUAAUACCUUCUUCCAAAGUAUGAUCGAUUGUGGAUGGUUUGAAUAGCCUAGUUAUUCGGGAAGUCAAAACAUGCAAAGUGAAACACAAGAAUAAUACUAAUCGUAUAUGGCCCAAAAACUUUUGUGUCCCAUAUUGAUUACUCAUUAGUCAUUGUAGAAUGUUUCGAAUAAUCAACCUAAUACUUGAAUUAAAUCAAUAGUUAUGCCAUGUUCCAAGCAUGCAUACUAUGUUUUGUAUGGUCAUUUCUUUGUGAAAUAGAUCAAUUGAAAAACAUUUCAAUGAAAACCAUUUCACAAUUCCAAAUCUUUAUCACCAGUGUAAGAAUUCCAAAUUCUCGUCAGUGCCAUUAUGUGUUAGAUUCUAAACUAUCAUGCAAUGAUUCCUUUGUAAUGUCUAGAUACCAAAAGUCAUGGAGACUUGACCAACGAUAUUACAAAGUAUUCCUUUGGAGAUUGUUACAAGACAAUUCCAUGGACGCGAAGUCUCAAAUUCAAAGUACAUUCCUUUGAACAUCCUUCUUGCAUAAAAGUUUCUAACCACAUACUCGUAAUAUCUAACACCAAAUAUGAAAACAUUCCAUAUUUGCCAUAUGACAACUCAUUAUUAAUAGAAUACUUUCUAUUUAUAAUAAUGUCGAUAUAGUCCAUCCAUUACUAUACUUCCAACUGUCCUUAAGUGACCAAUCCUCGGUGAACCUUAGAUUGUCCUUUAACAGUUGUUUAACCACUUUAGUCAUAUCUGAUUCUAUCUCUUUUUUCCCUCUUAAUGCCCAAAGCAUUUGGAAAAUAUUUAGAAUGGAUGAAUAUUAUAGCACAUGUAAUCGAUCCUAUACCCAAAACAUAUAGUACACGAUUCAUGAUGUCUUACAUAAAGACAUGAUACCUAACCAGUCUUUUGCUACAAUAUUCCUAUUUUCCAUGUUCUCAUAAUUCGAAUUAUGAAAAGGGAUGUAGUAAUCAUAAUCAAAUUGUGAGAACGCAACAUACUCAUGACUAUAUUUGAUUAAAAUCUCAUAAUCUAAGCUUGAAGUAUAAUUUCAUCUCCCUUAAUUAUAGCAAAACAACUUUUCAAACCCUGCAUCUUUGCAAAUUGAAACUUUUGUUUUCUAUAAUUAAUAUUGCUAACUCGCAACACUUAUAAUAAUUAUGCUCCCACUAGCAUAAUAAUUACAUUCUUAUUAGCAUAAUACUUAUGCUCCCACAAGCUUUGACAUGUACCCAGAAAUCAGUUGGACUUUUGGAAAUCAAUAUUUAUUGACUUUCUUACUAAAGUUCAGAUUUCUAAUACGAGAUGCUUCGAUAAGACUUUAUCUAGGCUUCUCAAACUCAUCCACCUUUCCUUAGAUAGCUCACAUGUGUGUCUUAACUAUUCAGAACUUACAAUAAUAAGUUCAAAAUGUUUAGACCCUUUUGCCAUUUCUCACAAUUCAAAUUAUGAAGAGGAAUGUCGUAAUCAUAAUUGAAUUGGAGAAUGCAAAUGUCACAAUUAUAUCUCCUUAAAAUCUACUUAGUGAAAGUGUUUCCUCACAAUCAUUUUCAUGAACUGCAGAGAAACCUUAUGACACUUAGAUUUUUUUGUGGUGUAUGUGUUCCUAUCCAUGUGAAUUUGUCAUAACAAUAAUCACAAGACAAGGUUAGUGAAAAAUCCAAACUCAUAUGGACUGAACUUGUUCAAUCUUAAUUUCUUGCCACCUGGCAGCACAAGGGCCUACCAUUGCUUCCAAGUUGUUAUGCAAACAACUGAGAACUCAUAGAACUUACAUGCAUAGUCAACUUUACUGGAAUGGGCACAGAAACAAGAAUAUGUCACUACGAUAGGUUACAAACCUCAAGUCGUGUGUUAGUGUUGAACAAUAGGUUUACUCUUGAUUAGUUCUUAAAACUUGUCAAGAUCCUUAAGACCCCCACCGACCUCUUGACAUAUAAGAUUCUCUUUUCAUGAACCAUUCCUUGACAAACAUAUAUUCAAGAGUUAGUGCGGAUUCUUAUCAAGACAAAACACUUCACAUAAUUGGUCUUAGUUGGUCUUUGUUUAUCCAAAACAUCUGUAAUGACCCAAAUUUUCAAGGAAAAUUUUCAUUUAAAUUAACAAACACGUUGCAUAAAACCAUGAGAUCCCACAUUUAGUUUUAAAAACAUCAUCCAUUACAUCAUUAUUUAAAUCAUCAGAGUAUCCCCAAACAUAUUAGUGAAAGAGAGAGAUAAAGUGCACGCCGCGCCAUCACGCCUUGCAGUUGCCCUUGGGCUCCGAUGUACCUGAAACAAUCAACAACUUGUAAGCAAAAUGCUACACCACACAUACAUAUAUCCUAGUAGCUAAUCGAAGCUAAACAUAUAUCACAUAAGCCAUGCAUACAACAAAUAAGGAUGUCGUGGGCUCGUCCCCAAGGUCUUACUCCAGGAUGCCAUGGGCUCCCCACAUGGUCUUACACCUAAGUGCCAUGGGAUCUCCCAUGGUCUUUGUUAGGAAAGCCAUGGGCUCCCCUCAUGGUAUUACGUCCAAGUGUCAUGGGCUCUCCCAUGGUCUUCCAUACAAAACAUACAAUCACAUAACAUAGCAAGCACAAAAUAACUAAUACAUAUAUCAUGAUCACAUAAUGGGCCGGCCUUGGUGCCUUAGACCCAUUGGUAUGGUGAGGAGACUCACCUCUGACUGCUGAAAUACAAACAUUGCUAUCCUAACAGCCUGAAACCUCCCGUGCUGAAAGAUGAUAAUAAAUUGAAGUCAAAAUCUUACUUAGUCAAAAUAACCCAAACUUCAACCCCCUUCUUGAGGCCCAAUUAUCCUUCCUUAACUAAUGGGCCCAAGGUCUAUGUCCAACCUCAUUAAUGGGCCUCUUGACCCAUUAAAGCCCAACCAAUAUAUCCAUGGAUCAUAACAUAUGAAAUAGCCCACAAUGCAACCAGGUCCAAUAACCAAGUGAGGCCCAAAAGCCCAAAACAGGCCCAAGCCCAUCUACAACACGUGCGCUCAACAUAUCACCCUGGUACGCACACCGUACUGGGGCUCAGGGACUUACGUGUGGCGUACUCAGAUCUACGCCCAACGUACUAACAGGUUAAGCACUUUUCCAUUAAGUGCUUAAUGCUCGAUUCUUAUACGUCCAGAAGUCAGAUCUAGGCCUAUAAAGACGACCCAAGGCAUAAAGUUGGCAACUAUAUGCCUUUGCAUGUCCCAAAUGAUCCCAACACCCUCAUUAAUACCAUUUUGAAGCUCUUAACCCAUGCAUGAGGUCAAAACUCCCACCAAGACUCCAUUUUUAUGUUGGAAAAGGACUAAGGGACCUCAGAUCUGUCAUCUCCAUCCUAUGGAGUUACUUAACUCACAAGAAAAGGGUCCAAAACCAACUAAAGGGACAAGACUAAAAACCCUAGCUAGAUUUAGUGAUUAAAAUGGAAAGGUACAAGCUUUAUACCUCCAGGAGCUCCUCAAGGUUGACAAUAAGCAGAUUCUUGAAGCCUAGUGACACUCCAAACUCCCUUGGCAACUUCUUCUUCUUGGAUGAACACUAAAAGAACCAUAAAUGCACUCUUAAAGCUCAAGCUACACUCACAGACGAUAUUAGGGGUUUUCAGGGCAUUUGAAGGUGAAGGAGGCAGAUAAGGGUGAUGUUUAAAGGAGUUAAGGAUGUUUAUAUAGGUCUCAAGUCCGGUUUUUAGGGUUUAAACAUGCUGGCACGUACGCCCAGCGUACGUGCUGCUCCUCCGCGUUCCUUCUCACCAAGUACGCUAAGCGUAUUCAUAAGUACGCCCAGCGUACUUAAAGGUCUCUUAAGCCAAAAUCAAGAUACUUCAAGGGUAAAGUCAUACCUGAUUUGGGUGUUACAACUCUCCCCCACUUGGACUAGACUUCGUCCCCGAAGUCCGUAGCUGUAAACAAAUCAGGGUAAUGCUCCCGCAUUUUGUCCUCUGGCUCCCAGGUCCAUUCAGAACCCUUUCGGUAUUGCCAUUGCACCUUUACCAAUUUCACCUCCUUGUUCCGAAGACCCUUCGUCUUCCAGACUAAUAUCGCGAUCGACCUCUCCACAUAAUUUAAGCUCCUAUCCACCUGAAUAUCAUCUAAGGAAACGGUUGCGGACUUGUCUGUAACACACUUCCGAAUUUGAGACACAUGGAAGGUAUUGUGAAUCUAACUAAGCUCCUCUGGCAGCUCUAAACGAUACGCCACCUUGCCCGCUCGGGCCGAAAUCCUGAAAGGGCCUAUAAACUGAGGCCCCAACUUGCCUCUCUUUCGGAAUCUGAUAAUCACUUUCCAGGGCGACACCUUCAGCAGUACAAAUUCCCCCACCUGGAACUAAAGGUCUGAAUCAAUUCGGUAGCCUUGAGCACUACAUCAGUUCUCCACAUGACCUGAUGCCCAACCUCGUCCUAACACACCAGGGUUCUACACCUCCUUCCAUAUAACAUCUCGAAUGGAACCCGGUCAAUACUAGCAUGAUAACUAUUAUUGUACGAAAAUUCUGCCGGUGGGAGGUAAGCAUCCCAACUCCCUCCAAAAUCUAGUACGCAUGCCCGAAGCAUGUCCUCCAACAUCUGGAUCAUCCUCUAACUCUGACCGUCGGUCUGAGGGUGAUAUGUCGUACUGAAAUGUAGUUGAGUGCCCAGUUCCUCAUGAAACUUCUUCUAAAACCUAGAAGUGAACCGGACAUCCCUGUCGGAGACUACAGACACGGGCACCCCAUGUCUAGCCACCACCUCACGUACAUAAAUGUCUGCGAACUUCUCUGUGGAUAUACUCUCGUAAAUCGGAAUAAAGUGGGCACUCUUCGUCAGUCUAUCCACGAUCACCCAUAUAGCAUCCACUCCUCUUGCCAAUCUAGGCAACUUUGUGAUGAAGUCCAUGGUGAUCUCUUACCACUUCCACAUGGGAAUGGGUAGUGGCUGAACAUUGCCAUGAGGCCGCUGAUGCUCGACCUUGACCUUCCUACAGGUCAAGCACCGCUCCCGAGCCAAGAAAUUUCUCGCUUCAGGCAGGGCCACCAAUAACUCAGCCUUAAGUCCCUAUAUAUUUUCGUAGCUCCUGGGUGUAUAGAGAACUUGGACUUGUGCGCUUCCUCUAAUAACCUCUGUCUCAUUUCCCCUGUCAUCGGUACCCAUACUUUGCCACACUGAGUUAAAAGGUCGCGACUAUCUUUAACAAACAAAGGAUACUAUCCCCAAAUUUUCUCUAUCUUCCAGUUCUCCUUCUCUGCCCCCUCGACAUGGGCCUCCCUGAUCAUAUCCAACAAAGGCAUAAUCAUGGUCAUCCUCAUACAAAUGCCCCUAAUAUGGGACCCCGCCGUCUUGCAACUCAAAGCAUCGGUCACUACGUUGGCCUUCCCUGGGUGGCAUAGAAUCUCACAAUCAUAAUCCUUCAGCACAUCCAACCACCUCCUUUGUCGCAUGUUGAGGUUCUGCUGAUCCAUCAGAUACUUCAGACUCUUGUGAUCGGUAUAUAUAGUCAACCGUACUCCAUAUAAAUAGUGGCUCCAAAUCUUGAGGGCGAACACCACUGCCCCUAAUUCCAGGUCAUGAGUAGGGUAAUUCGCCUCAUGAGGUUUCAACUGCCUCGAUGCGUAAGCUAUCACACGCCCCCUCUGUAUUAGUACCGCACCUAACCCCGAGAUCGAUGCAUCGCAGUACACCACCAAAUCCUUUAACCCCUCAGGUAGUACUAGAAUCGAAGCCUUGCAUAACCUCCGUCUUAGGGUCUCAAAAGUCAUCUACUGAUCCGCACCCCACCGAAAGGUCACAUUUUUCUUAGUCAAGCGGGUCAAAGGCACAUCAAUCUUGGAGAAGUCCUAGAUAAAUCUCCGAUAGUAGCCUGCUAUGCCCAAGAAACUACGAAUCUAUGACGCAUUCCUCGGUACUUCCCACCGUAUCAUCGCCUCAACCUUGGCUGGAUCAACCGAAAUACCCUCUUGAUUGAUGACAUGCCCCAAAAACUGUACUUCCCGCCGCCAGAAAUCACACUUGGAGAAUGUAACACCCAAAGUCAAAAAGGCCAAGAAAGGAAAGGAAACCCUAAGUUUAAGGGACGAGUCGGCGAGUCCAGGGAGGAACUCGGCGAGUCCGAGCGGGAUCCGGGUCGAAGAGUAAGUGACCGACUCAGCAAGUCGGCGAAGGAGACUCGGCGAGUCUGGUCUGAACGAGGAAAACCCUAAUUCUGGGAGUUGUAUCCUAUAUAAAGGGUGUUAUGUCCCUCCCUCAGCCUCCAUAUCAUCCUAGAGAACUUGUAAACCCUAGAUUUCGUGUGAGCUUCCAUCAUUGAGAGAAAUAGCUUUGGAGGAAGGAAAUUUUGGAAAGAAACUUGAAGAUCAAGAAGGUUGCUUCAAAGGAGAGGUGUAGAUCCGAGAUCUACUUCAGUUUGUGUUCAUCUUGGAUCUAGAUCUAUUUUUGUUAUGAGAUUUGGGGGUUUUAUGGUUGAUUGAGACCCAAUUCGAGUUUCGAGGCUUAGAUAUGUUGUUGCCACUUCAGAUCUAGUGUUGGGAUGGUCCAAUAUGUCAAAAAGCAUCAAAAGAUGGGUAGUUGGUGAAGCCCUUUUGUCCUUAAACCAAACCCUAGUGUGUUUUGAGCCUAGAUCUCUUUAGUUAUACAUAAAGUUUGCAACUUUACGUGGGGAUUGAGCUUUGGAAGUAUGGAUCUAUGGUUUGGAGUCCAUGCAUGACUCAAAAGUCCUUUGCAUGUAUGUAGAUCUGAAUGGACUCGGCGAGUCCUUUGAGUGGACUCGGCAAGUAGCAUGAAGAUUAGGAGGAACUCGACGAGUGGGAUGAACAAAUUGUCGAGCCAGAUGAACUUAGGCAAGAACUCGCCGAGUUUGAAGAACAACUCGGCAAGUCUAUUGAAGGUUGCCUUGGACUCGGCGAGUCAGGUCGCAAAACCCCAAACCCUUCGAGUUGAGACUCAAAUCAGUGAGUCGAAUGGAGACUCGGUGAGUUGGAUAGGUCAGGACUCGAAAAUCGGUAGACUCGGCGAGUCAUGGACUGACUCGGCGAGUCGAGACGCGAAUGGAAGAACUCUGAACAUAUUGACUCGGCGAGUAGGGUUGACCUGGUAGGUUGACUUUGACCAGAGUUGACUUGGUUGUCUUCCGGGGGUCAGUUAGACUAAGUGUUGCAUUGAUAUUGGUAGCUCAGGAGCUAGUGGAGCAGGAGUUUAGAGAGUUGCCGGACAGCAGCUAGUGGGAUCAUCAGCGAGUUCAGCUAGUGCGGGUGAGUUUCCCUUUUGUGUGAAUGGGUCUACGGCCACGAUGCCGGCCAAUGUAGUUAUGAGUAGAAGACCCGGGGGUUAGCCCUAGGCACAGUAUGCUAGUAUGAUAUUCAGGACGAGGUCCAAUGAAUGCGGGCGGGUGCCCAAGGAAUGGUUUAUGUGAUAGUUUAUACUUGUUGUCUGUGUGAUACUUGUAUGUGCCUGGUAGGGAGGUGAGUGUGGGCGAGGUCCCGUGUCUCACUAAUAGCAGAGUGUGGAUGGUGUUCCACAUCUCAUUAGCAGUAGAUCAGGGGCGAGGCCCAAGUUAGGGAAACAGUGAGUGUGGGCUAGGCCCGUAUCUCACUAUUAGUAGGAGCAUGGAUGGGGGUCCAUGACUCAUCAGUAGCAGGAUAAGGGCGAGGCCCAGGAUAGGCGAGGCCUUUGGACAGGAUCCGUUAGUAUGUGUUUAGCUUAUGUGUUGUGAUAUGUUUAUGUGCUAUUAUAUGUUAGCGGGAAAGGCCCUGUGACAGGCGAGGCCUAAGUGAAACAGAUUNAAGCCAAGCGGGGCCUGGAGCGGCGGGGCCUUUGUAGCGGGCGAGGCCCGAGGUAGGAGCGAUGCCCAGGAUGGCGGGCGUGGCCCAAUAUGUGUUGUAUGUGGUUAUGCAUGGUAUGUGGUAGGGUGGGGAACUCACUAAGCUUCGUGCUUACGAUUUUCAGUUUUGGUUUCAGGUACUUCCGGUAGCGGAGGGAAGAGCUCGGGGUGAUCGCAUAGCACACACCAUAGAUUAGACAACCUAGGAAUGUUUUACUCUGAUAACGAACACGUGUUUUGGAAACUAAUACUCUGAUUAUGUUUUGAAUCGAUAAUUUUGCUCUAAGUAAUGUUUUAUUAAAAGAAAUUUUUAGUCUUAAAUUUUGGGACGUUACAGAGAACUUCGCAUAAAGUUUCUCCGCUCUCAGGGUCUCUAAUACCUCCCUUAAAUGUUGCUCGUGCUGCUCCUUGGUCUUAGAGUGGACCAGUAUAUCAUCGAUAAAACAAUCACCGACCGAUCCAGCAUCGGCCUACACACUCUGUUCAUGAGGUCCAUGAACGCUGCUGGGGCAUUGGUGUGACAACCCGAAAUUUCUAUCUUGUACAACAUUUCAACUCAAUCAAAGUAAGACUUGUUUCUGCUAUCUUGUUAGCAUUGUUUAGAGUCUGUCUGAGUGUUCUAAGCAUAAUAACUCAAGGAUCGGGUGUUAGGAAGUAUCUGCUUGAGUCCAUUGUGCACUAGGCAAGCCUUAAACUUCAUCAUGUGGAGUUUACGACCACAUCCCAUGAGUUUACGACCAUAAACUCAAGGUGGCCAUAAAAUCAUACCAUAAACAUGAUAAUCCUUUCUUAAUCUUCAUUAUUCACCAUUUCAAGUCAAGGAACCUGAUUUCUCUCUCAAGUAUCAUAAGGAUCUUCAUUUUUAUCUUCAAAAAUGUAAGUGUUUCAUCCUUUGAUUUGUUGAUACAUCUCAUUAACUAGCACCACCUUUUGAUUUCAUCCAUUAACUUCAUCUUUUGGGUUUGAUCUUCAAGAUCACCAAGAACACACACUAGUGUUUUGGGCCGAAAUCAACUCUUUUUGCUUCCAUGUUGUAAGUAUCUCUUUCCUAUACUUUUUAUCUAGUUGAAACACUUGGUUAGCACCUUGAAAACAACCAUUUCACUAGAACAAUAGGAGUUUACAGCCAGGAACAUCUCCCAUGGCCGUAAACCCUUGUUAAGGGUGCAUUUGUGGCCAUAAACUCUUCCUAAGACUAAGAAUGAACCUAAAACACUUCCUUGAUGCUUGAAUGGACUUUAAAUCACUCUUUGGCACAAGGCUUCAUGAGUUUAUGGCCGUAAACUCAUAGGGCCGUAAACCCUAUGGUCGUAAACUCUCAAGAAGCAUACCAUUUUGGCCGUAAACACCAUUGUGUGGCCAUACACCCCUUAGAUGCAAUCCUUUGUGAUUAUAACACUUCCAUAAGUGUUUCCUAGUUCCUAAGGUGAAUCUAUAUCAUGAUUAGUUGCUUAAACACUAAUUAUAUGCAUAUAUGUGUCAUUAUAUGCUUAUAAGGAUCCGUUGUGCUCAAGGCUUCACUUGACACUUAGCAUCCUACAAAUCGAUCUUUCAUUCGUAUCACUCACUACAUGUGAAUUCAUACCCCUUAACUUACCUUUAAAUGAUUUUAAAUGCUUUUAUGAGGGGGAAUACAAGUAGCAACAUUAUAGUUAUUAUAUCAAUCACAUGUGAUUAAUAACUAUCAAACAGACUGAUUUCUUACAUUUCAAACUGUGUUAUCAAACAAACUGCUUCAAAUCAUUUUACAAACUCCUUGAUAUGCAAAACUCCUUAUUAAACUCUUUCAACUUAUAUUUUGUCAAAAUCAUGUCUAUAUAGAUAUAUUUAUAUAAGUAGGAUUGAAAGGACUUAGGACUGAUAACUCGCCUUAUUACCUGUUCCUUAUUUGGUUGUGGACCUAGGGUAUCGGUUGUUUGUCUGAAGGUCGUUUGAAUCUUUAGUUAUAUAUUAUGUGUAUGUGUAUAUAUAUUAUAGUUAUUUAUUCGGUUCAAUACCUUUGGGUAGCAAAGGUGUACAAACAUGUUCAUUCAUACAAACAACAUUACUAGUAAACUAUAAUAGGUAUAGUUUAGGAAGUCACUACUCACUAUUUCUAGUACAAUGAAACAUACAAGAGUCAGUUCAUUCACGAGUCAAUAAAAACAUACUAUUAUGAGAAAAAAAAAAGAACAUACUAUGAUGAGAAACUAAGAGAACAUACAAUACGCUACACUAUACAAGAGAACAUACUAUGAUGAGAAACUAAGAGAACAUACAAUACACUACACUAUACAAGAGAAAAUACUAUGAUGAGAAACAGAGAGAACAUACAAUACACUAGAACAUACUAUACAAACACUAGAACACUAUAACAUUAAUGUGAGCCACUACUUCAUGGCAUGGCAAUCAAUUGUUGUUUCACGUUUUGCAACCAGAGUCUCCUGGAGGGAGAGCGUGAGUUGGUGUAUAGAUCUAUACGGGAUUGACUAUCCUACACCUUGCUGCUAGCUAUAGUGGGACCUGCAGGUCUAUGGGAGACUAAUGUCAUACCAUUUCGAUGCCUUAGAGCGUCAUUUUUUUAACUAGUUGAUCAAGCAUGGUUACAACUAUAUCACAUUUUACCUUAAUUAAAACAAUUGUUUUAAGGUAGUUAGUACAAUGGUAGUAGCUAUAUACUAAUACUACACGUACAUCACAAUUAUUUUCCCAUUACAUUCAAAUUGUGAGCUUCUCACAUAAAUGGUAAUGUAAACUAUAUUUCUGGUAAAUGAUAGUCUAUCUUUGGUAAAGUUGCACACUUUUACAAACAAACAACAUACAAGAACAUUCGGGCCUUGGUAGAAGGCUACUUUUUAGUAGAAAAUAUAGGAUUUUCUAGGAGAUAAAAACAUUUACAAACAUGUACUACAAACGCUUACAAACAUUUACAAACACUUUCAUACAAGCAACGACACUAAAAUACUUAUGAACUCACCAGCUUUAAUGUUGAUCUACUCUUUCAAAAUAACUUGUAUUCUCAGGUCACCAGUAGACAGGUACCGAUGACCAGGUUUUGAGAAGAUGGAGCACGUUCAAGACUCAUCUCUUAUUUUGAUUUAUAUUUUUUGGUGUCUUAUAAACUAUACAAAACACACAUGUAUUAAUUUAUACUAUUAAUGAAAUGGAUGAUGUUGUUGCUUGUUUUACUAUUAUGCAUUGUUGUGAUAAUGUACAUGAUGUCCUCUGCCCCCGAACGUUUCUGCCGUUCAGGUUUUGGGGUGUGACAGAUUGGUAUCAGAGCUCUGUUUAUAGUGAAUUGAGUAUAUGAACCCAUAAAAGAUAUACAAACUAUAAACACCAACGGGAUUAAAAUACUCUGACCAAGAGUUUAUACUUUUAAAUAAUAAAAUAUUUAACCAAAGUAUACAUACCUGCAUUCAUACUAAAAUCAAUGUCACUAGGACAGAACAAAAGUAUUGUGGUUGUUGGACAACACAAGUAGACUCGGGGACAUAUACUUAGAUCUGGUAAUGAUAUAGCCUGAUUAAUGAUAUCUUUCCAAGAAGUGAUUAGCAUGUGCCUAAGAAUGGUUGUGGUGUUGCAGCAAGUCUAAAAACUUACUGACACUACUACAAUGAAAACAUUAGAAUAGAACAUAAACUUAAAAUACUAUAAGAGUAUUUCGUGUUACUAUAAUUACUUGUCUGAGAACUAAAGGUCUUUAUUAGUAGGUCAAUAGCUGCUUGGUGGAUACGCUAAGGUUACACGUGACUAAGGUGUCACUUAUUCGAAGAUCUAUCCUGUUUUGAUUACAUGUAACCGGUAUGCACUAUGCAAGUAUUGAAGUGGAUGAUAAAGAUCACCCUAUAAUUAUCUUAAUUAGUAUAUCUAUUAACUAUCUCUUUCAUCCCUUUUCUUGCGUAGAUAACAUGGCUAGAUUCCAUCCCCACAGCGACCCGUACUUUCCCAACCAAGGUAACGGAGGAUGGAUCGAUGCAGAGCCAGAAGAGAAUCAUCCAAUCUCUUUGGAUGACGACUUCGUAGAGAACUUUUUGGAGGAGUCUGACUCCGAACCUGAAGUCAAUAACCUACCCCCAUUGGCUCAAAUCCCAAACCCUAACCCUCGUCCAACAUUUCAAGGUCCCACACCUCUGUGGGCAACAAACUUGAACAUAUGGAGUCAUGAACAUGGUCAACCCUUACCUUACAACGGAGAUCGAAGCUUCUAUGACUUGAGAGAGGGAAGCUCAGUGGACAAAAUCGUGUCUAUACUAGUCCACAUGAUUGCUCGUACUGAUGAGCAAGGUAGGGCGGCCAUCAACCAAAUCAUGGAGGUUGAUGCUAAUGCGGGAGUCAAUACCGCAUGCAUUCUCCAUUUGGAGUCUACUCAUGCAAGGGCUCAAAAUCAAAAUGCGGCUCUGCAGAGAGAACUUACUGAAACCCAAGCCGACGUCAGGGAACUUCGAGCAGACAAUGUCUGAAAGGUGCAUGAGGGACAUGGAGCGCCGUCUGGCAGAAUCAAGGACUCACUUUAGUGGUUCUCGUCGCAGAUAGAGCCUACUCAACUUUCUUUUUUUGGAUAUAACUUACGUCUAUGUAAAGCUCUAGUUUUAGUUUCCUAACUUUGAUAAGGCUUUAAACUUGUUAAGUCUUGUUAGGUCUUAGUCCUGUCAAAGAUUUCCUAACUUGUUAAGACCUACUCCUAGGUCAUUUUUCCCGAACUUGUUACAUCUGUAAUACCAGUAUUAUUGACAGAUAUCUAAUCUCAUGGAAAUUAAUAUCCAAUUGCUUUCAUCUUUCUAGUACUAGAUCUACAUUCAAUCAUAGUUUCAUUUGUGUUGUUGGACUAUGCAGAGUUAGUCCAUGAGUCACCCUCAUCAUUCUCUCUAUUAAAUUCUUACCUAUAUCUUCAUCUUUGUGAUCUUAUAGCUGCAAGAUGCCUCCACGUCGAUCAACGAGGCGCACUACUCCAAUAACUCCAAAUCAAACUCCUCCUCCUCAAUACAAUCUAGCAGCUAUCCAAGCUGUUGUGAAUGCGGCUGUUACGACAACUCUAGCACAAUUCACCACUACCGGUACUAGUGGGAGUGAGACUAAUGUGCCUCCCACUAUUGUCGAAGCUCCAGUGUGCUCUAGAGAGUGCUCAUACAAGCACUUCACCAGUUGCAAAACCAGGGCCUUCAAUGGAACUGGAAAAAUCAUUGCCCUCUCGCAAUGGUUCAAUAAAACGGAGUCGAUCUUUGAGAUCUGCUCCUGUCUGGAAAGGAGCAAAGUAAAAUUUGCCGCCUGCACCUUCGCGGACCGAGCACUGACGUGGUGGAAUAACCCAUGUCAAGUCACUAUCUAUUAUAGUGGAAAAAAUGCUAUCGGCUGGGAAGCUCUGAAGGAGAUCAUGAUCGAAAAAUAAUGCCUAAGGGGCGAAGUCCAGAAGUUGGAGCAAGAGCUUUGGAGCCUAACCAUGAAGGGCCCCGACAUAGUCUCCUACACUGCCAGAUUCAGCGAUCUGGUAGCACUAUGUCCGGGAAUGGUCCCCUAUGAAGCGAAGAAGGUGGAGAGGUAUAUCUGGGGGCUGGUGUCUCCAUUCCAGGGGAAUGUACUAGCUUUAAACCCCGCUACCUUCGAUAGUGCCAAGCGAUUGGCAUAACGGCUCAUUAACCAUGGGGUCCGUAUCCCGUCAACAAGAGCAACCCUAGCCAUCUCAGAACUCUCCAAAGCCGCUGAUAACAAGUGGAAGUUAUGGGAUGACAAGAAGAAGAACGUUGCACAAAAAGCUGCCAAAAAGCAACAGGUCAUAGCAGUUCAUGCUGCAAUAGCACCUGUCGUUGCUGCACCGGUAAAGCAGUAUGCUGCAAACUUGCCGAAGUGAAACAAAUGCAACUUCCAUCACACUCGACCCCGCCAGGAAAUGCAGUGCUCUAACUACAACAGGAAGGGGCACACUGCCCGUUUCUGCAAAGCUCCGGCAAGGCCAAUCAACCAAGUCCCCGACGUUGGUGUGGGCCAGACUUGCUAUGGAUGUGGCGAGGUGGGCCACUACAAGAGGAACUGCCUGAAGGCAGGGAAUGUCGGUUGGGUGGCAAGAGUUUUGGCUAUAGGCCACGAGGAAGCAGUUGCCGACCCUACAGUGGUCACUGGAACGUUUCUUCUCGAUAACUCUUAUGCAUGCAUUAUGUUUGAUAGUGGAAUGGAGAGGAGUUUCGUGAACUAGAAAUUUGCUCACUUACUUAAGCAAAAAUCAAGAGCACUUAAAGAACCGUUCACUGUAGAAAUGGCUAAUGGAAAGACUGAGAGCACUAGCAGUUUAUACAUAGGAUGUACUCUAACUCUAGAUAGCCAUUCAUUUUCAAUUGACCUCAUGCUGGUCUCAAUUAAAAGUUUCGACGUCAUUAUCGGCAUGGAUUGGUUGAGUUUGCAUCAUGCCGACAUCAUGUGUUAUGAAAAGGUCGUUCGCCUUAAUCUGUGGUCUAGCGAAACUCUAUUUGUCUACGGCGACAAACCUAACAUGAACCUUCGUAUCAUCUCGAGCAUUCAAGCCCAUAAGUACCUGUGAAAGGAAUGUCGUGCAUUCCUUGCUCAUGUUGUCGAUGUGAGCCAAGAGACAAAAGAUAUAAAGAACAUUCCAGUGGUAAGCGACUUUCUCGACAUCUUUCCAGAAGAACUCCCAGGAUUACCUCUGCAACGUCAAGUCGAGUUUAGAAUUGACUUAGUUCCAGGGGCUACCCCAGUAGCCAAAUCGCCCGAUCGUCUAGCACCAGCCGAGAUGCAGGAACUAUCUGGUCAACUUAACGAUCUGCUCAACAAGGGCUUUAUUAGACCAAGUUUCUCACCCAAGGGAGAACCGGUCUUGUUCGUGAAGAAUAAAGACGAAUCGUUUCGUAUGUGCAUCGACUAGAGAGAACUAAACAAGCUUACCGUUAAGAAUCGUUACCCUCUGCCUCGCAUAGACGAUUUGCUCGACCAACUACAAGGGGCGAAUUACUUUUCAAAAAUAGAUCUGAGAUAUGGGUAUCACCAAUUACGAGUGUUAGAGGAGGAUAUCCCGAAGACAGCCUUCCGAACUCAUUACGGACACUAAGAGUUUGUAGUGAUGCCAUUCGGAUUGACUAAUGCGCUUGCAAUAUUCAUGGACUGCAUGAAUAGAGUAUGUCGUCCUUACUUAGAUCAGUUUGUCAUCAUGUUCAUUGAUGACAUACUCAUCUACUCUCAUAGUGAGGAAGACCAUAGUAAGCAUCUACGUUAGAUCUUGGAAGCAUUACGAUCAGAGAAGCUCUAUACGAAGUUCUCUAAAUGCGAGUUUUGGAUUCGAAGAGUCGAAUUCCUGGGUCACGUUGUUAGUGAAGAGGGAAUUCAUGUUGACCCUUCCAAAAUAAAGGCCAUUGAGAACUGGUCAGCACCAAAGACGCCUACAGAAAUUCGUCAAUUUCUAGGCCUCACCGGCUACUAUCGCAGGUUCAUUCAAAACUUCUCUCAGAUUACGAAACCUCUUACAACAUUGACCCAGAAGGGCGUGACCUUUGACUAGGAAGAGAAACAAAAGAAAGCGUUCCAAACACUGGAAUGAGCCUUAUGCACCGCACCGAUACUAUCCCUCCCAGAGGGGAUAAAAGACUUCGUGGUUUAGUGCGAUGCAUCCAACCAGGGGCUGGAAUGUGUUCUGAUGCAACGAGGUAAGGUCAUCGCAUAUGCCUCAAGACAGCUGGAGACACAUGAGGUCAACUACACCACACAUGAUCUUGAGUUAGGAGCAGUAGUGUUUGCUCUGAAGAUCUGGAGACACUACCUGUACGGUACGAAAAGCACUAUCUUCACAUACCACAAAAUCCUUCAACAUAUAUUUGACUAGAAGGAGCUCAAUAUGAGACAACGACAGUGGGUUGAGCUACUCAGUGACUACGAAUGCGAAAUUCGUUAUCAUCCCGACAAAGCCAACGUAGUAGCUGACGCCCUGAGUCGGAAAGAAUACUCUGAUCAUAGAGUCAAAUCAUUGACUAUGCCUAUCCAUUCACACUUGUCCACACAAAUUAAGGAGGCUCAGCUCGAAGCCUUGAAACCUGAAAAUGUGGCAGGUGAAUCCCUGAGAGGGAUGGAUAAGAACUUUGAAGUCAAGGGUGGUAGAGCCUUAUAUUUCAUGGAUCGGAUUUGGACACCGGAACACGGUGGUUUCAGAGGCUUGGUCAUGACCGAAGCGCACAACACUCGAUAUUCCGUCCACCCAGGUUUGGAUAAGAUGUAUCUGAGAUACUUUACCAUCCCGGUAAAGAAAAUGUUGUCGCUGAUGCUCUCAGUUGGAAAGUCAAUAUUAAAAGAAAAAGGCCAAGAGCGUUGAGAAUAGAAGUUGUCUCGACCAUUAUGGAAAGUAUAAAGAAAGCUCAAGAGGAAGCUUCUGAAAAGAAUGACCAGAAGGAGGAAUGUUUGGGCAAAAUGUUGGUGUUCAGUCCAAACGGUCAUGGACUGAAGGUAUUCCAAGAUCGUAUUUGGGUACCUAAGUCAGGAGGAAUAAGAGAUCUUCUGAUGCAAAAAGAUCAAAAAACCAUGUACUCAAUUCAUCCUGGCAGCACUAAAAUGUAUAGGGACCUGAAACCCUAUUACUGGUAGCCGACGAUGAAGCUUGAUAUUGCCAAGUACGUGGCAGAGUGUGUGACGUGUGCGUGGGUCAAGGCACAACAUCAGAAACCAUACGGGAUUUUAGAACCUUUACCUGUGCCUAUGGGUAAAUAGGAAGACAUUACUAUGGAUUUUGUCACUAAACUGCCCAGAACAAAGAAUGGUCACGACAUGAUUUGGGUGGUCGUUGAUCGCUUCACUAAGAGUACGCAUUUCAUAGCAUCCAAUGAGAAAUGGACUAUGGAUAAGCUUGCGAAUUCUUACAUGAAGGAAACUGUGAGGCUUCACGGUGUUCCGUUAACGAUUGUGCCAGAUCGUGACACCCGUUUCACCUUGCGAUUUUGGAGAAGUCUACAAGAGGAAUUGGGUACCAAGUUGUGUUUGACUACAACUUACCAUCCACAGACUGAUGGUCAGAACGAACGAAUGAUACAAAUGAUUGAAGAUGUGCUAAGAGCAUGUACCCUAGAAUUCCAAGGUAACUAGGAUGAACAUUUACCUUUGGUAGAAUUCUCCUACAAUAAUAGUUUACACUCGAGCAUUAAGAUGGCACCAUAUCAAGCUUUGUACGGACAGAAGAGUCGUACGCCAUUUUGUUGCUUGAGGAUGGGGAAAAGCAGUUUAUGGGACCCGAGAUACUCCAUCAAACUGCAAAAAAGUUGAAAAUAAUUUGGGAGAGAAUGUUAGCAGCUCAGGAUCAUCAGAAGAGCUAUGCUGAUAAAAAAAGACGACCGAUGACUUUUGAAGUUGGGGAUUCGGUUUUGCUUAAAGUCUCUCCGUGGAAGGGGCUUAUAAUAUUUGGUAAAAUGGGAAAGUUAAGUCCAAGGUUUAAUAGACUGUUUAAAGUUCUUCAGAGGAUUGGGAACCAAGCUUACAAGCUCGAAUUACCCGAAGAACUGAAUGGAAUUCAUAACACUUUCCAUGUGUGUUAUCUGAGGAAGUUCACGGGAGAAGUUCCCGACAUGAUUCCACUUUCGGAAUUAAGAAUUAAUGAAAAUAAGAGGUUAAUUGAAGAACCAGAGGCAAUCGUUGAUCGUAAGACUAAGAAGUUACGGCGCAAGAUGGUCGAAUUAGUGCUUGUUCGUUGGAAACAAACGAAUGGGCCAAAUCUCACCUAGGAAACGGAGAGUGACAUGAUGAGUCGCUAUCCGCAUUUGUUUGUUGAUGUGUGAUUCCGGGGACGGAAUCAUCCUAAGUGAGAGAGAACUGUAACGCCCAUGUUUCUAGGCUAGGCAUUAAUAUUGAUGUAAUUGUGUAAGUUAACCUUUGUAACUCAUUUUGAAAUAAUAGAAAUGUAUUAUUUGAGUAUUAUGUGUUUUAUGCUUAAUUGGUGUGGCUUAAAUGAAUUAAGAAUAAAAAAAUAAGCGUAAUAAUAAAAUAUUAGAUAAGCCCAAUAUCUAUGAAGGAAGUUGUAGUGGUCGUGACAAGGGUUCUGGAUAUAUAAAGAAUGUCGAAAUCUGAGUUAUAACGAAGAAGUUAUGACCCGUCGAAGUUUCGCGACAGAACCGGUACGACACCGUGUGACGUAAAUAGUGAAUUUACGAUAGAGCAAUAUCUGGCCUUAGUGAUCUAAACAAAAGUCGUAGAAUACGUUAAACCGAGAGCGUACAUAAAUAGAACGUCUAAAUCUGACUUCGUGUGAGGAAGUUAUGAUUUUUCAAAGUUUCAACUUAGCGGUAUGCAGCCCAAAGUUCGAAUAUGAGUUCAAGUGAUUUCUAGCUGAAACAAUCUAAACGAGAAUCGAAGAUCUCGUUGAUAGUAAUGGAACGGAAAAAAGACAGACGAAAACGGAUGUCAGAUGAAGAAGUU